UUAGGUGUAUGUAUUUAGUAUAGAUUCUUUUAAUAAUAUAAUAAUAUUUUAAAUUAAAAAAUAAAGUAAAAAUGGUUAAAAUAUGAACAUUAUUAGCAGCAAAGAACAGUGAAUAUAAGUGUUUUACUGUGACAGUGAAGGUGGAGUUUGGAGUCUAGAGGUUGUUGAGGACGAUGUUGGCGAGAUUCAAACCUUCACAUGUGGUGUCAUCAUCAGAGAUCUUGGAAGAAAAAGACCAAGAGAACCCUGAGGUGGCAGAGAACCCAACGCUCACCCACUCCGGAAGAAGGCUCUCGAGCUCCACUCUCUGAGAGACGAUGUAGUUCGUUGGCUGAGAAGGGUAAACCAGAGAAGCCACCAAGAGCUUCGUGGAGGACUCAUAGGUGAUCUGAACCUCCGCGUUUUCUCCGUUGACCAAUUCCCACGGCGUCGUUUUCAUAGACUCGAUGGAGUUCACGUCGAUGCCAAUAUGACGGCCUUCGGGGUCCCACUCCUGGUUGACGAAGGUGUCGAACUCCACAGCCACAGUAUGGGCUUUGCUGUUGUAUUUGUCGCUGUCGAAAAGACCUAGAAAACCGCCUUGCUUUGUUGGGAACGAGAGCAAAGCCAAGGCCAUCGGCGGCUUUUGCUUUGUUGGGAGCGUGGAUAUUGAAUUUGAAGUUUGUGGUGAAGCUGGCGACUUUUCCGGUGGCGCUGUCUUAGAUUUGGAUGGGGGCGGAGUAGAAGGCGCGGCCCAGAGAGGCCACCGUGGGUUCUCCGUUGCUAUUAACAUUGGUUAGUCGUAACUGGCCGGAGGAUGAGACGGAGGCAUCGCCUUGGAGGAUAAGGUUGGUUUCGUUGAACCUAUCGAAGCUGAAGGAGGUUUCGCUGGCUGAGUUUGCGUGGCUGAGAAGCACAAGGAAGAGGCUAGGUUGAGUAAGUUGGAGGAAGCCAUGUAUGCAUUCAUGCAUUAACCAUCACUCUCUUCUCUAUUUAUACAACAACAAAUGCAAAAUCUUUCCAACUUUUUUAUUUCAUUCUAUUAUUAAAUACGUGUUUUCGAAUGAUUAACUUUUUUCUUUUAUAAUAUUAUUUGAGAGAGAAAUAAGAAUAUUAAAAUAAGAAUUAAGCAACGAUUGAUUUUACAACGAUUCAACGUUUUGCUACGAUUCUUAAUUACAAUGUGUCGAUAACUCUUUUUAAGUAUUUGGGUAUGCUGGUAGGGGGUGUCAUUGGAGAGGUGCUUUUUGAGCGGACAAAAAUUCCAAAAAUCCACCAUUUAUUAUUAAUCUUUUUUAUUAUUUAGGUAUUUUUCAGGUAUUUUAAGGUUUUAGUUCUCACAGUUACCCUAAUUAGAAAAUUCUAAUUUUUUUUUCAUGAUUUUUUAGUUAUAAAUUAGUGAUAUAUCAAAACCCUAUAAAUUAGUGAUAAUUCAUAUUUUUCGUGAAGGGAAUGCGUGUGCUAAUAAGUUGGCUAAUUUAGGAUUUAUUCAUAGAGAAUCAUUUCAUUGGUAUAAUAGACUCCCAGCUAGUCUGUUCUUAGAAUUCUUUAUGAAUAGGUAUAAUCUACCUAUUUAUCGUUUUUGUUAACAUAUGGGUUUUGGUCUAGUCCCGUCAUAUUUUUGUAUUUUCUUUCUUUUUUCUUUUUUUUUAAUAAUAUUUUUUUUAUGUGAUGACAAAUGAUUGUUGUUACUUGAGGUGUCAGCUUAGCUGAGAUGUCAAGUUGCAUAGUGAUGCCUAACACGAAAACUUUAUAUAAAAAAAAACCCUAUGGACAUAUAUAUGUCAGAUUUGUUAGAAUUUGCAUAUGGAGAUCAUUGUAAGAGCAUGACUGGAAGCAAAUAAUAAUAUUUAACUUAUUCUUUAUAAUUUUUUAACACUAAUUAAUGUGAAUCCUUUUUCCCGCCAUAGAAUAUGUGAGAAAUGGGCCACGUAUUUCCUUAAUUUCUAUAACUCUAAGAUAAAUAAUCAAUAAUAUAGGAAUUAGAUAGAUAGAUAGGAAUAUAUAUGUUAUUAGUGUUUGUAAUACAUCUUUAUCAAUGUAUAUAAUUUGAUUAUCUGAAUAUAUGUAUCAGGGCUAACUUAGUUUUAAUUGUACAAGUCAAUUUAGAUAGGAUUAACAUUAAACAGAAUGAACUAAACAAAAAAUUCUCAUUUAAAAUGGCGGCUUUUACCAUAACUGCCAUUUUAUAUCUUUCAAGAAGGUAUAAAUGACGACUUUUUAUCAUAACCGUCAUUUUAUAUCUUUAAGGAGGAUCUAAAACGGUGACUUUUUACCAUAACUGUUGUUUUAUAUCUUUUAAAAAGGUCUAAAACGACGACUUUUACCAUAAUUGCUGUUUUAGACUGAAUAUAACACAACGAUUAUAUAAUCUCUGUCUUUGCUUGAAAAGAAUAGACUAUAUGUUGAAAGACAACGCUACAAGAACCGUUGUUUUAAUACUAAAAUGAUCGUCGUGAUUUAAUUUUUUUCAUCAGUAAUUGUAAAGUUUCUUUUUAGAGUGUUGAUAAACAUAUAUCGAUUUGAAAUGAAUAGAGUUAGAAAGUAAAAAAAAAAUACAAGAAAAAUGUUAAAUAAUGUCAUAGAAAUAGAAAUGGAAGAGAAGUGUAAAGAAAUUUAAAUAAAAAUUAGAUGUGAGAGUAAGUUAGUUUAUAAAUUGAUUUGUUUAAUGAUUUAAUAACUGUAAAAAUCAAAUAAAAGUAAAUUAUAGUAAUAUGUACUAAGAUUUAAUGUAAUUACACCCAUGUUUCCUUUUUUUUUCUCUGUUAUACUUUAACUUAUAAUAAUCCUUUCCAUUAUUAUAAACUUUUUUAAAAUUACAUAUUUUUCAAAUUAUGCACUAAUAAUAUAAUAAUACACAUGCUGAAUAAUACGCAGUGUAAAUAUAUGAGCUCCUAUUUUAUUUAUGCUCCCAUUUGUGACAGAUGAAGAUUAUUAGCAGGAAAGAAGAGUGAGAGUGAGUAUAAGCAGGGUUUUACUGUCACAGUGAAGGUGGUUUUUGGAAUCUAGAGGAUCUUGUUGAGGAGGAUGUUGGCGAGAUUCGAAUCUUCAGAUGUGGUGUGACAGGAGAACUUGGAAGAAAAAGACCAAGAGAGCAGGUCGUGCGUUUCACUGGACACGUUAGAUGACCCUGAGGUGGAAGAGAACCCAACGCUCACAUUUAAUAAUAAUAUUAUGUGAUACCUCACAAUUAUUUAUCUUAUUAAUUGAUCAAUUACCAUAAUUAUCCUAUUAUAUUAUUGGUAAUUACUAUUAUCAUAAAUAAUUAGGGUUUCUUCUUGGGUGUAUUAUAAAUAGAGAUUACCAGACAACUAAAGAGACACUCUUAUAUUCUAACAUCACACGGUCGAAACUCAUUCCCUAAAGGGAUUUUCGAGCCUCUCAUCUCUUUGUCUCUCUGCUCACAUAAUUCCAUUUUAAGCGAUACACUCUAAAGGGAAACCCGAUCAAGAUCAUGUCUUCGUCCCUCAGCCAUGCGAUCACGGGUUUACCAAGUAUUAUCUAAUCAUUAUUCUCGUUUCAUUAUAUGAUUGAGGAAUCCUAAUCCAACAUGUGGUAUCAGAGUCAGGUUUAUGUUGUUUAAUCGAUUCUUCUUUUGUUUUCCCUAAAUUUGGAAGAAACGAGGAUUUUGAUUCAACCUAUUGAUUUUCGAUGUUUUUAUUUUGGUAUAUUAUUGAACCACUUAUUUUCGAAAAUCCACCUUGAUAUCAUAAAAUAAAUUUUAAUUUUUUCGAGAUCCAUAAUUAUUUUAAGAUUUUGAAAAUUAAAAUUUAAUAUUAAUGUUAUGUGUUCUUCAUAAUUUUCGUGAGUAUUCCCUUAUUUGGAAUGGAAUUAAUUUUGAUUAUAUGUUCAUCAUCAUUAUUUGUUGUUCGUAUGAAUUUUUGAAAAUUAUGAAUAAAGAAUUUUCAAAAAUUAAUUAUUCCCUUAAUUAGGAAAUUUUGAAAAUAAUAUUUUUCCUUAAUUCAAAUUUUCGAAAUACAAUUGAUUCCCUUAAUUAGGAAUGGAUUUGAUUUGAUUUGAUUGUGUUUUUCUAAAAAAAUAAAUAAAAAUUGAUAUCUUAGUCUCCACGUUUUUCCUUAUUUAGGAUAGUAUAUUCUUGCCUUAUUAAUUUUCGGGUAUUAUUAUUAUUAUUACUAUUUUCGAAAAUAGCAGUCGUGUCAAACUUGGAAACAUAUCAAUCUAAUUAAAAUUUUGAAGACCAAAUCUAAAAUCAAAUCCUUAAUAUUCCGCUACUCACUUAUCGAGUUUACGAGUAACAUAUUUACGCGUUUCCUUUUAUUUAUCGAAUUAAAUAUGGUAAAUCUCAUGAUACCGUAAUUAUGUUUUAAAAAAAAUACUUAUUUUGUUAAACUCUUAAAACAAAAAUAUUAAGUUUGACAAAAUUAAAAUUAAAUUUUUUGCUUAAACUUAAUAACAGGAGUCUCCCUUCUGUCCAACGAUGAUGGGUUAUGUCUUGUUAUUUUAGUCUAAUUAAGCACCUUCACUUACUUGUGAGUACACUUAAUUAUUAAAUAUUCGCAUGACAUUUGCCUAAAAACACAAUUAUUUCUUAUUUCUAUUCUGUCCAACGAUGUUUGAUGCACUUGUGUUUUGCAAACUUAAUAUGUGCAUAAGCUUAAAUGUUCAAUUCUGUCCAAAGAUGAUGUGUCACAUUCUUAUUGCACAUACCUUACUUAUAAUUGUUCAUUAUUCUUAAAUAAUUGGUAAUUAACCAAAGUGAAAGCUGAUUGUUUAAGUAGAACCUAAUCUAGUCUAUUAUUUUGAUGUUAUAAUAGAUUUUAUCACAGCUUCAUUAUCAUAAUGGUUCUUACUUAUGCCUGCUUUAGAUCUAAGUUUCCAAAUGUCACUCUAACUUUUUCCUUAGCCUAAGUAUCUUAAUUCGUCGUCUAACCAGCCCCUAAUAUGGAAAUUGAGACCUUGACUGGUGAAAAUCAUUCUUCUUGGAAAGAUUCCUUGAUGCUNNNNNNNNNNNNNNNNNNNNNNNNNNNNNNNNNNNNNNNNNNNNNNNNNNNNNNNNNNNNNNNNNNNNNNNNNNNNNNNNNNNNNNNNNNNNNNNNNNNNNNNNNNNNNNNNNNNNNNNNNNNNNNNNNNNNNNNNNNNNNNNNNNNNNNNNCAAUCAUUAGAGGAGGCAUUCCUGAUUCACCUAACGCUAAGGCUUAUCUAGCUUCUGUGGAGGAACAAUUUCAAGGAACCUCUAAGGCUCAUGCUAGUACUCUUAUCUUGAAGUUGGUGACUACAAAAUAUGACGGGCGCACCGGCAUUCGUGAACACAUCCUGAUGAUGAGCGACAUGGCCCGUAAACUUAAGGGAUUAGCCAUGGAGAUCAGUGAAGGUUUCCUAGUCCACUUCAUUAUGACUUCUCUUCCUUCUGCGUUUGAAGCCUUCAAAGUCAACUAUAAUACUCAGAAGGACAAAUGGUCCAUGAGUGAGUUGAUUGCUAUGACUGUUCAAGAAGAAGAGCGCCUGAAGUUGGAGAAACCAGAUGUUGCUUACCUCGUGGCUGCUGAGUCGAAGAAGCGGAAGGGCAAAUUCCAUAAAAAGGAAUCUAAUAAGGUCCCUAAAACUGAUGCAAGUGCACCCUCCAGCUCUAACAAAUUCACUAGCAAGUUCUACUGCAAGUUCUGCCGCAAGGUAGGACAUAAGCAGUCUGAGUGCUCAAGCUUUAAGGAGUGGUUGGCUAAGAAAGGUAAUCAUCUAAAUAUGAUAAUUGAGUCCUUUAAUUUAAAUGUUCCAACUAAUACUUGGUGGUUUGACUCUGGUUCUAUGGUUCAUGUGACCAAUUCAAUCCAGGGAUUCCUUACAAUCCAGAAGCUGGAAAGAAACCAAAGAACACUUAAGAUGGGGAAUGGACAAGAACUAUUUGUCGAAGCUGUCGGAAUCUUAGAAUUACUUAUGAAAACUGGAAAAUGUAUUAAACUUUAUGAUACCUUAUAUAUUCCCGAAAUUACUCAGAAUCUUGUAUUAGGACCAAAGUUAGACAUUGAUGGUUUUUAUGUUUCCCAUGGUCAUGGCAAACUUACUAUUUCUUUAAAUUCUCAAUUGUUUGGUACUGGUUUUCUGGAUAACGGUCUCUAUAAGUUAGAACUAGAUGAUAACUUCUCCAAAUCUUUGUUAUCAUAUAAUAUUAAUGAGAACUUAACAAAGACCAAGAGAAAACGAGACUUAGAAACUUCAUCCAUGUUGUGGCAUCAACGUUUAGGCCACAUUUCACGAGAUCGCUUAUCUCGACUUGUGAAGGAUGAAGUCUUACCAUCUCUCAAUUUCACUGAUUUUGGAACAUGUGUCAAAUGCCUCAAAGGCAAAAUGACAUCCACGACUAAGAAAGGCAAAAUGACAUCCACGACUAAGAAAAAAAAAUACAAGAAAAAUAUUAAAUAAUGUCAUAGAAAUAGAAAUGGAAGAGAAGUGUAAAGAAAUUUAAAUAAAAAUUAGAUGAGAGAGUAAGUUAGUUUAUAUUGAUUUCUUUAGUGAUUUAAUAACUGUAAAUAAGAAAGAGUAAAUUAUAGUAAUAUUUACUAAGAUUCAAUGAAGUUACACCAAUGUUUCCUUUUUUUAAUAUGUUAUACUUUAAUUUAUAAUAAUCCUGUCCAUUACUAUAAAAAUUUUAAAAAUUACAUAUUUUUCAAAUUAUGCACUAAUAACACGCAUAUAUGGUCAAACAGAAUAAACUAAAGCAAAAAAUUCUCAUUUAAAAUAGCGGCUUUUAUCAUAACGGUCGUUCUAUAUCUUUGAAGAUGGUAUAAAAUGAUGAGUUUUUAGCAUAACUGCCAUUUUAUAUCUUUCAGGAGGAUUUAAAACAACGAUUUUUUAGCAUAAUUGUCGUUUUAUAUCUUUAAAAAAUGCCUAAAAUGAAGACUUUUACCAUAAUCGUUAUUUUAGACUGAAUAUAACACGACGAUUAUAUAACCGUUGUCUUUACUUAAAGAGAAUGGACUUCAUGCUGAAAGACAGCGGUAUAAGAAUCGCUCAUUCAUGCUGAAAGACAGCGGUAUAAGAAUUGCUCAUUUAGUGCUGAAAUGACCGUUGUCAUUUAGCUUUUUUGCACCAAUAAUUAUAAAGUUUAUUUUUAGAGUGGUGGUGAUAAACAUAUAUCGAUGUGAGAAUAAGUUAGUUUAUAUUGAUUUGUAUAGUGAUUUAAUAACUGUAAAAGUCGAAUAAGAAAGAGUAAAUUAAAGUAAUAUUUUCUUAUGUUUAAUGUAAUUUAAACCAAUGUUUUUUUUUUCUAUGUUAUACUUUAACUUAUACUAAUCCUUUCCAUUAUUAUAAACUUUUUAAAAAUUACAUAUUUUUUAUUUUUCAAAUUAUGCACUAACAAUACGAAUAUGCAUGGUCAAUAAUACGCAGUGUAAAUUGUGUAAAUAUAUGAGCUCCCAUUUUAUUUAUUUAUUUUAGUUUGUGUGACAAAUGAACAUUAUUAGUAGCAAAGAAGAGUGAAGAGUGACUAUAAGUAGCGUUACCAUGAGACUAUGUUACUAUAUGAGACUAUGAGGUAAUAUGGCCUGAAAAAUGUUGAAGGAACUUGUCAAAGACUCAUAGACAAAGUCUUCAAGGGGAUUGGCCGGAACAUAAGGGAAAUGGUCGGAACGAUUUACGUGGACGACAAACUCAUGUGCCCAACACAUAAAGAUUUGAAAGAACUCUUUGAAGCUAUUAGGCUAUGAUGUUCAGACACUUCUCUUAAAUGAUGUGUCGGUGGUAGAUACUCAUAUCGGACACCGACAUUCGUAUGACACUUGUAGGACACGUAUUCGUGAAAUGUCCAAUUCAAAAAGUAUUUGUUGGAUUUUUGACAAUUUUAAUACAAUUCUAACAGAAUUUUAAAAAGGAAAAAUACAUUAAUUUUCUAAAAACUCAAACUUAUUGUAUAAAUUUUUAUUAUGAUUAUAAAAAUAAGAAACAAAUCAUUUUGAAGUAGUCAUGAAAAACAUUUUUUUCUCUUUUCUCCAAAAAACAAUCUGUAACAUACUUGUGUACAUAAAUCUUUAUUAUCAAUUUAUAUAAUUUAUAAUUAUAUAAUAUAUAGAUUCGUGUUUUCAUAUCCUACAUUUUAAAUAUUUAUUUUAAAUAUUUUCCGUAUCUUUACGUUUGUGUCCUUGUUUUAUCGGUGUCCGUGUUAUACAGCUCUUAAGUGAAUGAACAUGCGGCUAAAUCCUGAAAAGUUUGCGUUCAGGAAUAUAAGUUAUUGGGUUUAGGGUUUAAUCUCGAGAAAUGUAGGGCGAUAGAGAUAACAAGAUGAUCAAAAAUACAAAAAAAAGAAGAAGAGUAAAAUAGAGUAAACUCCAUUAUGUUAUUAUUUUGGAAAACUUUUCUUCAACAGUCCAAAGUUUGGAGUAAAAAACAAGCAUUUGACAGCUCCUUUUAAUAAUAUAAUAAUAUAUGAGCUCCCAUUUUAUUUUCUGUGACAGAGAAACAUUAUUAGCAGGAAAGAACACUGAGUGAAAGCAGUGUUUUAGUGUCACAGGGAAGGUGGAGUUUGGAGUCUAGAGGAUUUGGUUGAGGACCAAGUUGGCGAGAUUCAAAGCUUCAGAUGUGGUGCCAUCGGAGAGCUUGGAAGCAAAAGACCAAGAGAGGACGUCGUUCGUUUCAACGUUCCCUUUAGUAAUCCCAGUGGUGGCAGAGAACCCAACGCUCACCCACUCGGGAAGAACGCUCUUCAGGUCCACUGUGUCAGAGACGGUGAAGCUUGUUUUCAGAGAAGGGUAAACCAGAGAAGCCACCAAGAGCUUCGUGGAGGACUCAUAGGUGAUAUGAACCUCGGCGUUUUCUCCGUUGACAAAAUCCCACCGCGUCGUUUUGAUAGACUUGAUGGAGUUCACGUCGAUGCCAAUAUGACGCUCUCUGGGGUCCCAGUCCUUGUUGUAGAGGGUGUCGAACUCCACAGCCACAGUAUGGAAAUUGCUGUUGCUGCCGUCGAAAAGACCUAGAAAACCGCCUUUGUCUUUGGGCUGAGAGCCCACGGGGACGAGAGCAAAGGCAAGGCCAUCGGCGGGUCCUGCAUUGUUGGGAACCUGUAUAUUGAAUGUGAAGUUGGUGUCGAAGCUGGCGACGUUGCCGGUGGUGUAGUCCCAGAUUUGGAUGGGGGCGGAGUAGAAGGCGCGGCCCAGAGAGCCCACCGUGGGUUCUCCGUUGCUGUUAACAUUGGUUAGUCGUAACUGGCCGGAGGAUGAGACGGAGGCAUCGCCUUGAAGGAUAAGGUUGGUUUCGUUGAACCUAUCGAAGCUGAAGAAGGUUUGGCUGGCUGAGUUUGCGUGGGUGAGAAGCACAAGGAAGAGGGCUAGGGAGAGUAAGUUGGAGGAAGCCAUGUAUGCAUUCAUGCAUUAACCAUCACUCUCUUCUCUAUUUAUACAACAACAACUGCACUCUCUCUCUCUACUUUAUGGAUUCAACAAAUGCAAAAUCUUUCCAACUUUUUUAUUUCAUUCUAUUAUUAAAUACGUGUUUUCGAAUGAUUAACUUUUUUCUUUUAUAAUAUUAUUUGAGAGAGAAAUAAGAAUAUUAAAAUAAGAAUUAAGCAACGAUGGCAAUGCAUCCACGUCAUCCAAACAUUGAAAUAAUAUGAAAUAAUUACUUUAAAUUUAAAGAGAUAUUUAUGGAGAGAAGCGGUUGGCACGUAGUAGUGGGAUGUGAGACGUGUCAUAGUGUGAAAGCCACAGUGGAAAGUGACAGGAGACAUGGGUGAAGAGGAGGUAGAAAAAAUAUGAAAUAAGAAAGAGUAAAUUGUACUAAUAUUUCCAAAGGUUUAAUGUAAUUACACAAAUUUUUCCUUUUUUUUUUCUUUUUUUUCUAUGCUAUACUUUAACUUAAUAUAAUACAAAACUCUAAAAGAUAUAAUAUCUUGAAUGUACGUGAUGAUUAACUUUAGUAAAAAUCAAAAUAUUACCGUUACAAUUAAAGAUAAAAAAAGUGGUUUCAACCGGCCAGAGUUUAUUCUGGUACUUCCAAUAAUCUUAUAUGGUUAAAAAGUUGAAAUAAAAAAUAAUUUAAAUACACAUUUUUUUAUUAUUAUUUUUAUUUUUUAGUACGUCAAAAAUAAAAUAAAUAAAAUAUUUUAAAAAUUGAUAUAAGAAGGUGUUAUUAUUAUGGUAUCCUAUGUGUGUGAUUAUGUAAUAAGAUAGAAAGAGGUGGAAUUGGAAGAAGGAUGACCAUUGAAAAAAAGAUAAGAUAAGGUUUGUUUGAUGAGUGGGCAGAAUGUUGUGUUGGUGUGAAGCAGUUUGGCAGUAGCAAUGCAGGAGGAAGGACAAUCCAACGCACCAAACUGUACCACCUUCAUGAAAACUAUGCACACAAUCAAUUUCAACUAUUUUGUGGAUAUCAUUUUUCAAUUACAAUUGAAAAAAUUUGAUAGUUUUUUUUAUCAGUAAUAAAUAAAUUAAAUAAAAUAUUUUAUGAGUGUUUCAAUUCUUAUAAAAAAAUAUAUAUAAAGUUUUUUAACACUCAACCAACUGGAAAUCCAACCGAUACUGCAACAUAUCAACUAAAUUGACAUAGACAAGAAUGAAGAAAUGAAUAUUGUUGGGAAAAACGGGUAAUUUUCCCACUAAAACAAAACCCUAACAGAGCUACCCGACAAAUAAUAUUGAAUAAAUAAAGCGGAAUAAUAAAAGAGAUAAAGAGAAAAAAGACACCCGAAUAUUGUUAACGGAGUUAGCCUAAUCUCCGAGCACAGCUGAAAUAACUUGCUUUUAUUAUUAUGUGAGAAAAUAUUACAAAUUGAGAUAUCUAACAGAAGGAGGAGAGUUUAAUUUAUAACCCUCAAAACUCCUUCCCAAACAAUGAACCCAUCGAUGUGGGACUUGGGAUUAAGCCAAAAUCAACAAAUCUCCACCUUGGCUUAAUUUCAAGUCCCACCUAAAACAAAUCUUCUAAAAAACAUAACAAAAACAAACUUUGCAGUGUUUCAAAUUUGCGCCUCCGGGCGCCAACUUCAAAUGUGCAAGAUAUUAACCAAGUUUAAAUAGUGUUCAAACUUGGUCCUUGUAACCACCUUGGUGAGCAUAUCUGCAAGAUUCUCCAUAGUGUGAAUCUUCUGGAGAACAAUCUCCUCUUCUUCGAGAAUAUCACGCACAAAGUGAUAACGAACAUCAAUGUGCUUUGUCCGUGCAUGAAAGACUUGAUUCUUUGCUAAAUGAAUAACACUCUAACUGUCAGAAUAUAACUCAAGUUGUUUCUUACCAACUCCCAAGUCUUUAAGCAACCCAUGAAGCCAAAUUGCUUCCUUCACAGCCUUUGUAAUCGCCAUAUACUCUGCCUCUGUCGUAGACAAAACUACCGUAGACUGCAAGGUAGACUUCCAACUAACUGACACUUUUGCUAAAGUGAACAAAUAGCCAGUUGUAGACCGUCGCUUAUCCAAAUCACUUGCAUAAUCAGAAUCACAAUAUCCAACUAUGCAUUGACCAAGUGAUUCAUCUUGCUCAAAUGUCAAUCCAACAUCUAAGGUAUUUUGGAGGUACCGUAGAAUCCAUCUCACAGCUUGCCAAUGACCCUUGCCCAGAUUAUGCAUGUACCUGCUAACAACACUCACAGCCUAUGAAAUAUCUGGUCUUGUACACACCAUUGCAUACAUCAAGCUUCCAACUGCAUUUGCAUAUGGGACUUUCGCCAUGUAUUCUCGUUCUUCACCAGUCGUUGGAGAUAAACGGCUACUCAAUUUCAGAUGAGGAGCAAGUGGGGUACUUACAGGUUUUGUAUCUUCGUGUAUACCAAAACGUUGUAGUACCUUCNNNNNNNNNNNNNNNNNNNNNNNNNNNNNNNNNNNNNNNNNNNNNNNNNNNNNNNNNNNNNNNNNNNNNNNNNNNNNNNNNNNNNNNNNNNNNNNNNNNNNNNNNNNNNNNNNNNNNNNNNNNNNNNNNNNNNNNNNNNNNNNNNNNNNNNNNNNNNNNNNNNNNNNNNNNNNNNNNNNNNNNNNNNNNNNNNNNNNNNNNNNNNNNNNNNNNNNNNNNNNNNNNNNNNNNNNNNNNNNNNNNNNNNNNNNNNNNNNNNNNNNNNNNNNNNNNNNNNNNNNNNNNNNNNNNNNNNNNNNNNNNNNNNNNNNNNNNNNNNNNNNNNNNNNNNNNNNNNNNNNNNNNNNNNNNNNNNNNNNNNNNNNNNNNNNNNNNNNNNNNNNNNNNNNNNNNNNNNNNNNNNNNNNNNNNNNNNNNNNNNNNNNNNNNNNNNNNNNNNNNNNNNNNNNNNNNNNNNNNNNNNNNNNNNNNNNNNNNNNNNNNNNNNNNNNNNNNNNNNNNNNNNNNNNNNNNNNNNNNNNNNNNNNNNNNNNNNNNNNNNNNNNNNNNNNNNNNNNNNNNNNNNNNNNNNNNNNNNNNNNNNNNNNNNNNNNNNNNNNNNNNNNNNNNNNNNNNNNNNNNNNNNNNNNNNNNNNNNNNNNNNNNNNNNNNNNNNNNNNNNNNNNNNNNNNNNNNNNNNNNNNNNNNNNNNNNNNNNNNNNNNNNNNNNNNNNNNNNNNNNNNNNNNNNNNNNNNNNNNNNNNNNNNNNNNNNNNNNNNNNNNNNNNNNNNNNNNNNNNNNNNNNNNNNNNNNNNNNNNNNNNNNNNAUAUCCAUGAAAUGAGCAGGCUUCUGAAUAUCUCGUCUCUGUCUUCUAACUGCAAUUGGCUCUGAUUGUUGUUGAGAUUCUUGGGUAGGAACCUCUUCCUCAUCUGACUCUUCUUCUGCCAUAGGAGAGUCACUUGUGGUAUUUCGUGUUGGGAUCACCACUGUCGGCUCAAACUCCACCUGUUGCGGAGUACUAUCAGCUCCUUCUGGAUUUACUUUCUUUAACAUGGCAGAUUCAUCAAAGGUAACAUCCCUGCUGAUAAUCGUCUUCUUUGCCUCUAGACACCACAAACGGUAUCCCUUCACUCCAGGACUAAAGCCCAUGAAAAGAGCUUUCAUUGCCCGUGGAUCCAACUUUGAUUCAAUCACAUGAUAAUAUGCAAUAGAACCAAAAACAUGCAAAGAAUCAUAAUUAGUUGCAGGUUUUCCAAACCAUACCUCUAGCGAGGUUUUGCCAUCUAUAGCAGAAGAUGGCAAACGAUUGAUGAGAUGUUGAGCGUAUGUCACAGCCUCAACCCAAAACUCUUUGUCUAACUCAGCAUUAGACAACAUACAACGAACUUUCUCCACAAGUGUCUUGUUCAUACGCUCCGACACCCCAUUAUGUUGUGGUGUUUUUCUAACAGUGAAGUGUCGAACUAUGCCACAAUCUUGACAUACCUUCAAGAACGGAUCACUCUUGUAUUCUCCUCCAUUGUCUGUUCGGAGAACCUUAAUCUUCCUUCCUGUCUGGUUUUCAACUUGAGCUUUCCACUUAAGGAAAAUUUCAAGCACAUCAUUUUUGUUCUUCAUAGUAAACACCCAAACUCUCAUGGAAAAAUCAUCCACAAAAGUGACNNNNNNNNNNNNNNNNNNNNNNNNNNNNNNNNNNNNNNNNNNNNNNNNNNNNNNNNNNNNNNNNNNNNNNNNNNNNNNNNNNNNNNNNNNNNNNNNNNNNNNNNNNNNNNNNNNNNNNNNNNNNNNNNNNNNNNNNNNNNNNNNNNNNNNNNNNNNNNNNNNNNNNNNNNNNNNNNNNNNNNNNNNNNNNNNNNNNNNNNNNNNNNNNNNNNNNNNNNNNNNNNNNNNNNNNNNNNNNNNNNNNNNNNNNNNNNNNNNNNNNNNNNNNNNNNNNNNNNNNNNNNNNNNNNNNNNNNNNNNNNNNNNNNNNNNNNNNNNNNNNNNNNNNNNNNNNNNNNNNNNNNNNNNNNNNNNNNNNNNNNNNNNNNNNNNNNNNNNNNNNNNNNNNNNNNNNNNNNNNNNNNNNNNNNNNNNNNNNNNNNNNNNNNNNNNNNNNNNNNNNNNNNNNNNNNNNNNNNNNNNNNNNNNNNNNNNNNNNNNNNNNNNNNNNNNNNNNNNNNNNNNNNNNNNNNNNNNNNNNNNNNNNNNNNNNNNNNNNNNNNNNNNNNNNNNNNNNNNNNNNNNNNNNNCAUCGAGUUCUUGAAAUUCAAAGAACCAUUCCUGAAUGGGACACAUAUGAUAGGUACAACCUGAAUCCAAUAUCCACUCAUCUGGAUACGAUGAUGCUGAAAGCGAGACAAUUAAAGAGAUAUCUGAUUCCACACCAUUUUUGCAUUCUGCAACAUUUGCAUCUUGUGGAGCCUUCCCUUUCUUCUGCAGUUUUGGAUAGUCUUUCUUCCAAUGUCCUUUCUCAUGACAGAAAGCACACUCAUCUUUGGCAACGGCUCGACCUUUAGACUUAGACCUCCCUCUUCUCCCCUUUGUUUGGCUUUGCUGACGACCUCUUGCCACCAAUGCUUCUUCUGAUGUCGUUGAUUUGGUUUUCAUCUUAUCCUGCUUUCUCAAUUCAUGACUAUAUAAAGAAGAACAAACAACAUCUAACGACACAUUCUCCUUCCCGUGAAGGAGUGUAGUCUCAAAAUGUUCAAAUUCAUCAGGAAGAUAUGAUAACAACAUCAAAGUCAAAUCUUCAUCGUCAAACUUCACAUCUAAAUUCAACAGGUCUGCUACUAAUUGAUUAAACAUAGUGAUGUGCAUUCAUAGUAGUACCUUGUUGGUAGUCAAAUUGGAACAACCUUUUCUUCAUCAGGAGCUUGUUUUGACCACUCUUCUUCAGAAACUUGUUCCUUCCACAGUUUGUGUGCAGAAGUCUCGUUUUUUACAGCAUACUUCUGCUCUUUGGACAGGUAGGAUCGAAUAGUUCUGCAUGCCAACUGGUUGAUGAUGCUCUAGUCUUUCUCCUCUACCUCUUCUGGUUUCUCUCAUUCAAUAACAAUAUCAUUUCCCUGUUGAAAAAGAGAGUCCAAGACCUCUCCUUGCCACAUGCCAAAAUGUCCAGUGCCAUCAAAUAUUUCCACCGCCAAUUUCAAAGUGGACACCGGGAACCUCGACCAUGAUGACGAGGAGCCCGACACUCUGGAUACACCAUUCACUUCUUCUUCUUGAUUUGCCAUUACAAACUCAAAAUAUAAUAUUCAAUAUUACAAAUAAUUUCAAACAACCCAAGGCGAACCUUCGGCUCUUGAUACCACUUGUUGGGAAAAACGGGUAAUUUUCCCACUAAAACAAAACCCUAACAGAGCUACCCGACAAAUAAUAUUGAAUGAAUAAAGCGGAAUAAUAAAAGAGAUAAAGAGGAAAAAACACACCCAGAAAUUGUUAACGGAGUUCGGCCUGUUUAGCCUAAUCUCCGAGCACAACUGAAAUAACCCGCUUUUAUUAUUAUGGGAGAAGAUAUUACAAAUUGGGAUAUCUAACAGAAGGAGGAGAGUUUAAUUUAUAACCCUCAAAACUCCUUCCCAAAAUAUGAACCCACCGAUGUGGAACUUGUGAUUAAGCCAAAAUCAACAAAUACAACAGAAUACGAUUACUUUAAUCCUUAAAAAAAAUCACAUUCUCAUAAAAAGAUAAAAUAUUCUAACAAUUAAACAAAAUAUCAUUUUUAUUAUAUCACUCAUACUUUAAAAAUGGUUUCCUAAGUAAUUUAUAGGUCUUACAUUAAGGAAUUUAUAAUUACUUACACGUUAAUGAGUCAAUAAUUAAGUUAAACUUAUGUAAUGUCUAGGUGUUUGAUUUAAUUUAUUCUAUUAAUAUUUUUGUAUUUUUUUUUCUUUUGAUCCUAAUUUGAAAGUCGUAGAAAAACAAUACAUACAAUAUUUUCAUAUUUUUACUUAUGAAUUAUAAAUAAAAGAAACAUACUUUUUUUAUUCUGAUGUUUUCUUUACAGAACUUUUUAGACCAAUUAAGAAAAGAGUGUGUAUGUGAAAAGAUGAUUUAUGAAUUUUGAUAGACACUUGAUGGUUAUGUGAAAUGUUUGAGAAAUUGUAUGAGAGUUUAUGAAUUUUGUGUAUCAAUUUGAAAUUUAAAUUAUAUAGACCAUUUUGUUAUAACUAGCUUACCCUGUUAUUUGUUUGUGUUUGUUUCUUUAUCUGUGAUGAUCGUGUUGUACACGGGAGCAUAUGAGAUUGCAAGUAAUAGAGCUCCUAAAUGAACAGCCGGAGGAUGUGAUAGUUUUAAUUUGAAUGCUCUCUUUGUUUUUAUAAAUUUUUUUAUGUAUAUAUUAAAAUCCCUACGAAAAGAGAUAAUUUUUUUAGAUACAAUUAUGAGAUAUUUAUAUAUAUUCAUAUGUUAAGUAGAUAGUGUUUGUUUUACUUUUAUUUUAUUAUAUAUGAAUAAAAAUUAUGAAUGUUACAUCUAACAUAUGAUUUACCGAAAUAAACUGAAGUUAAUUAAAUUAAAUUAGUUUCCCGUAUAUUUUGCUUUUCAAGCAAAAUACUAAGAAGAAAAUGAUGUCUUAACUUAUUUUCUGAAAACCUAAUUCAAAAAUUAAACACAUAAACCUAAACUAAGAGAUAUUCAUAUUUUCUGAUCGGAUUAUAGUUUCGAUAGAAAAAUCCAAUAUAUGCUAACAAAACAAAACACAAGGAGUUUGAGAUCUAAAAAAACCUUAUACUCAAAUCAAAAUUGGAUGAGUUCAAAUUCAUUAAAACUUUAUUAUCUUCUUCGUCUCGCACUUUAAAAGAAGAAUAAAAAAAGAAAAAUCACCUAUAAAAUAUAUAUAUAUAUAUAUAUAUAUAUAUAAUUCGAGUCUAAUCAACUAUGAUAUUAUUUGAGGGAGUAAUAAGAAUAAAAAAAAUAACAAUUAAACAACGAUGACAAUGCAUCCACGUUGAGACAAAGGUGUCAUAGCCACCACCACAGUACAGAGAUAUAGCAAGUUGAGACAAAGGUACUGAUAGAAUUUAGGUGAGAGAUGUCUUUUCAUUUGAGGAAGACAACACCAGGAACAUGUUUUUCCCUUAACACAGAAAUUCACAUUUAGUUUGAAUUUUAGUUGUUAUCAAAAGAUAUUUACAAAGGAUUAUUCAACACUUAAAUAAAAAUUCAAUAUUUAAAUAUAAUAAUAAUGUAAAAAUGUCUAUUUAUAAUACAUGAUUAAUCAUUUCAUUUCAAAUUUUGAUUAAAACAUGUAUCAUAAUAUAUUAUUUAAUUUCUAUAUGAUUUAAGUAUCAUUAAUAUACAUUUUAACUAAUAUAUAUCUUUAAUACGUCAUUAAAUUAUAGUGUGGAAAUGGGUUUAUUCGAAUGUGAUAUGGUAGAAGAGAAAAGAAGUUUUCAUCUAUCAAACUUUUCUGAUUCCACGAGAACAACCUUCUCAGCUGCUGCUUGGGUAAAGGGGCAACGUGCUUUUCUACAAUUACUUUAAGCUAUUUACAAUUCAAUAUAUAAUCUAACCAAUUUUUAAGAAAAUGGGGGCAAUAUUCUUACUUUUUAUAAAACAUUAUGAUAUUUUUUAAAAGUAUUUCGAAUACGAAGAAAUCAUAUUAAUAUAUACGAUUGAUAUAGUACUUUUUUAUUCAAAGUGAUUUGUGGGAUUUGAAUCAUCAGAAUUAAAUAUGAUUAGAAAAUGAAAAGAAAAGAUUCAAAUUAAAAGGAACCAGAUACUGAUUUAUAAUAUAUAACACUCUAAAACUAAAAAUCACUUUUUCUAGUCUAGUUGUAUAUUAUGGUAAGGAAACAUCUCUCUUUCCUAUAACACAAUUGAAAAAAUUUCAUAGCAUUUCAUUAAAUGUUAUAAAAAGUAGUACCUAAAUUGUAUAAGAGAAGAACACACACAACACUGAAUUAAAAAUUUGUGACUCUUGAAAGAAACCAUUUCCACGUAUGCAAAAACAACGAAUGAAGUGUGUAAUAGUUUUUCUUACUUUUCUAGUCAAAGUAGCAUAGUUUAAAUCUUUUUUGUAAAUGUGAUGAGACAUGCAAAGUGGUACUUAAAAGGCUAAACCUAAGUUUAAUUAGAAAUUUCCAUUUCUAAUUAAACUUAGGACCGGCCCAAUUUGACCCUAGAUGAGCGUAAGUUCUAGAUGAAUUAGCACAUGGAAGCAUUCUAGAAUCUUACCUCACAUGGGCUGAAAAUAGGCGCCACUUUUCACAUGUGCCAACACUUUGAAUUUGGCUCUCAUUUCAUUUGUAUUUGGCUCUUCAAAUUCCAGCCCUCCAAGCCUAUAUAAGGAGGUGCUUGGUUCAUGUUUUCACAAGAUUAUUUUGAGUAAUGAAAUGUUGCCAAAUUGUGUUAUUCUUACUCCCUUGCCUACAAUCUCUUAGAAUUUAGGUCUUAAUCUUCCAAAACUGCACCUCAAAGAGAGUUGGCCGAACCUCUCUCACUUUCACACUCUUCAUGCACCUCUAAGGCUUACACAACUCCUAGGAGAGCCUUAUUUCACCUCAAUCCAUGAAUGCUUCCGCCAAAACCACCACAAAAACCGCAAGAUGAAGAGCUCAAAGCCAUCAUUUGGUAUCUAGAGCUAUGGUCUUCAAGAGAUAAGUGUCUCUUUUCAUUUUUCUGUUUGAGUUCUUCUUAUUUUCAUGUUGUUCAUCUCUUGUUCAUGUUGUCUUGCUGUUUUUACAUUUUUAAUUUGAUUUAGAUGUUGUUCUAAGCAUUUCAAUCGGUAGAAAUUGUUCAAAUUGUUCUUGAGCACCUUAUUUUCAAUUUUUGUGUAGGAAUCUAUGGUGAAUUGUGUUGCUGUUUUGAUUUUAGGUUACUUGAGUCUUGUUUGAAUUUUUGUUCGGUGCAUUAUGAUGUUCUUGAGUCAUUUUAUUUUCUGAAUCUAUAUGUUUUGCCUAGUCAUGUAAUUCCUAGAAUGUCAACAAACCUUAGUAGUACUUUUCUUGAUUCAUUUGUUUCUUGUUUUGAUUUGAGUGUUUAAUUUGAAUUCUGACUUGAUUUGUUCCUUUGGUGCAUUUUUCCUUUUAGUUUGAGUUCAUAUUGUAUGAUAGAUCCAUACAAAUUCAUAUAACUUUCACUCCAUUGUGUUUUUGAAGUUUCUCUUUCUAUUUUUAAUUCCAGAAAUAGGAUUCCUCUGUUUUUACAAAUACUAUACUGGCUAUUUUGUGUUAUGAAAAUUAAAUACGUUAAAAGAAAAUUCUGAGAUUCUAGAUUUCAGUGGUUUGAUGUGUUAGAAAAAGAAGAAAAAAAGAAUCAGUCGAAAAGACAAAAUAGAAAAAAAAAAGAUAAAUCACACAAAAAAAUGUUCAUUCUGGCGCUAAAAUUGACUGUAAUUGGACAGUGAUUUUGAAAAAUUUAUCACAAUUAAUUGGUGCAUGUUUUUGGUGUGAUUCCAGCGCCAAAAGUUUGCUAAGAGAUUGAAUCGUUUUUGGUUAAAUUUUCAGAAGCAAAUUCAAAAUAGCCAACUCAACAUAAAUAUUUUAAGUCAUGCUUUAUGAACCUUAAUUUUCCAGUAGUGUUGUUUUGGUUUUUCAAAUCAAUUCUAGUGCCCAUCUUUAGGUUCCUUUUGUGUGUCAACCUUUGUUAAGUGCCUAUUUUUUUUAUUUGCUUGUCCAAUAUCAUUAUGAACUCCUUCUAAGUUGUGUCAUAUCAUUAAUUCCUGUUUUUGUGGUACUUUUCAAAUUUAAUUUGUUUCUUGCUUUAUUUUCUUGACCUCUAAAAUUGUUGGUGGAAGAAUUUCAAUUGGUGCUUGCUAAGUGGAAAUUGACUUUGUGGUAAGUCUAGCUCUACUUAGUAGGUACUGUUUUGAAGAAUUUAAUUGCUUAAAUCAUAAGAGGUUAAGGCAAGGAGCAACAACAUACACAAAUACCAAAAACCAUACACUUUGAAGAGCACAACAAAGAAGAGCAAGAACAAGCCAAAGGAGUGCAUAGCUUAGAAAGCUGAAAUUAAAUUUGUGCAAUUCAAUUCCUUUUCAUUUCUUAAGUUGUAAUUACAUUUCACUUUUGCUAAUUAGUGGUUAGACGGUGAGUGUGUCUUCAAAUGCUCAAAGUGUCUAAGAAGCCUCACUUAGGAAGCGACUAGUUUAAAGCUUUGUAGAUUAACAAUUUCUAAUUGUGUUAGCUAGAUUGUUUUACGUUAAUCCUUGUUUAGCUUUGCUUAAAAUUGCUUACGUUUAUCUUUUGUUUAAGCUUUGAUUAAUUGCUUUAUUUGUUAAAUAGCUUUGCAUUGUUUUUCCUUGCAUAAAAUUUGAUUUUUCAUUCCUCAUUAUGUUCUAAGUAAUUUACUUAGAAAAAGAAUUGUGUGAAGUUUUUUAGGGAUAGUUUUUGACUAAGGCAAGACUUGGUACUUAAGAAGUCCUUAGUGACUCACCUCUCUUACCUGGAAAGCUACCUUCACUAACUUUCCUCUUCUUUCUUGAAGUAAAACACUUUUAAACACAAAGUUUUAGUCAUGUCUUCUCACUCCUCUAAAUCUAAUGAAAGUGAUAUGAAGUCCAUUAAAUCUCUUUUAAAACAACUUGCCAAGGACUUUCAAUUACUUUCAUAUAGACAAUUGGAGAAUGAUGCCAAAAUUAAUUAAUUGACUAAAGCAAAGGAUGAGAAUUCUCAAAAAUAAAAAUAAAAAAUACAUUCUCAUGCAUCUAGUUCCAAAGAUCAUGAUUCUCUUGGGGAGGGAAACCUUAGGAUUAAUGAGUUAUCAACCACCUCCUAGGAGAAAUAGAAGAAGAGAACAAGAUAGCCCAAGAGAGGUUAGGGUAGACCUACUCCAUUUUCAUGGAAAAGAAGAUGUAGAAGUAUACCUAGAUUGGGAAGAUCUUUCUCCAGCUCCACUUUGGCAGAGAAGCACAAGGAAGAGGUCUAGGGAGAGUAACUUGAAGGAAGCCAUGAUCAUGCAUUCAUGCAUUAACCAUCACUCUCUUCUCUAUUUAUACAACAACAAAUUCAAAAUCUUUCCAACUUUUUUCUUUCAUUUUAUUAUUCAACACCAAAUUAACAAUUAUUAAACAACGAUGCCAAUGCAUCCACGUCAUCAAAAAAGUAUAUGAAAUAAUUAGUUUAAAUUUAAAUACAUAUUUAUGGAGAGAAGCGGUUUGGCAGGUAGCAAUGGGAAGUGAGAGGAGGUGCUGAGGUGGCCGUGUGCAUGGCCAGUAGUGUCAUAAUGAGAAGAGGUGGGAGCUGAGGUGGCAGCAUGCAUGGCCCAGUGAUGUCAUGUGGGGAAUCAAAAAUUCUAAUUUCAUUUUCCCUUUUUUAUUUAAUGGUAUAUAUUAUAAAAUUUUAUAUUCACCGUAUUAUUCUUAUUUUUUUACUUUGUUGUAAACUACGAUGACUAUAUUAUACUACGUACAUGAGUAAAUGAUCACACAGGUAUGAGAGGAUCUUGAGAAUUUUAAAAUGUUUUCUUAAAAUUAAUAUUUUUUAAAUAUUUGUAUUUCUGUAAGUUUUAAUUAUGUAUUAGGAAUAUUUUUAAAAAUUUUAAGUUUUUACAAAAAUAUGUAUAACAUGUAUUAUUAUAAUUAGAUUUAUUUUUGUGUGUUAUAUUUAAUGUUAUCAAAGCAUUUCAUCUUUAUGAUAAUCUGACGGUAGUGAGUUUAUUGUGUUCUUCGUGUGUCUAAAUUUUUUGUUUAAUUCUAACUUCAAGACCUUGUUAAAAGUUUCUAAUAAUAUGUUUAAUAAAAUUGUUUUCUUGAAAUCUUGUUUGAGUGGUGAGGAUACACACUAAUGACUAUAGAAAACCUAAUUAGAAUUAUUAUAUUAAAAGUUUAAGUCUCUUAUAUUAUUAUUACAAUUACAACUAAAACUUAAUUAAUUCCGAAAAGAUCAGAAACAAGAAACAAAGAGAUAAGGACAUUUUUUUUAAUCUUUUUUCUUCCUUACCUUCCUUAAUCUCAAAUGAAACAUAAAUUUGUUUUGUUAACUGUUGUCCUCUUUUUCUGGUGAUGAGGAAAUAACACAUUUUCUAUUGAAGGAUCCUAAUUUCUCUUACAAUGAAUUUCUUUAUUUAAUAAGAAAAAAAUAUGAAAAGGUUUUUUUCUGUGUGUUUAUCAGGGACAUUGAAGCAUUUACUGGUAUAAAUUUGCAUCUUUUUAAAAUUGUUGAUUAUAUUAAUGGUGCCAUGAAUGAAAUUCACUUUGAGGGAUAUCAUGAGAGAUGAAGUGUAAAUCUGAAUAAUAGUCUAAAGUUGUGUUUUAUUAGUCAAGGAGACAAGCUGAAUUAAUUUAACUGAACCAUAAAAAUAAGUCAAUAUGAUUAGGACUAAUCAAAAUUUCAAUUCAAUGCUUUGAUAAAACGAAUAUCAAAGUUCAUUUAUGUUAUGAUUGAAUUUAAUUAUGACUUUGAACAAAAAUAAAAGUUUGUAUACAAGGUAUUGGUUUGAAUGAUGAAUUUGAAAGAGAAUUUAUUCACAAUUCAACAAAUCAAAGUGGAGUUUCAAAAGAAAGUUAAUUGGAAAAAAAGUUUAAAGUGAAGAAGUGUGAUUGAACGUAACAAGUAAAACUCUAUGAAUGUAAAACGAUCAAAAGUGAAUGCUUAAAGUAAAAGAAAGGAUUCAAAUCGAUAAAAGAAAUAUUGUAAACGUUCGAUGUUGUAAGCAACUGCUUUUUGAAAAGCAAUUCCAAAUUGGAAAAGAUUUAUUUUACAUCAUAAAGUAAAAACAUAACACUAAAUUAUAAUAUUUAAAAUUAAAAAAUAAAUUAAAUAUGAUUAAAAUAUUAUUUUAUUAGUUUGUGAAGUAUAUGUUUUUUUUACUAUUUGUGGUAUUAACAUAUCACCGCCCUUUUAAAUUCAAAAAUAGAAAAAUCAUUUAAAAGUUUCCAUCAUUUUAAAUAAAAUAAAAUAAGAUUCACUAAAAAAAAACCUGAGAAAAGAAAGGUAGUAUAACCAUAUUUGUAUUACAACUAAUUUUGUUGUUCUGCUAGAUGAACGAAAUAAAUUACCCAGUUGAUGAUUAAGGAAAAAAAUUUAUGAUCAAUUUAAGAUAUUAUUCAUUUUCAUUUUGAAGUUUUUAAAUUUCAUUACAACUUUAUCUUAAAAAACAUAUCGAUAAAUUAAAGAAAGAAUAUUUAAAAUGAAUUUCAACUAGACUUCUAAACAAUGAACUUUUUUAUAAAAAUAUACAAAACCAAAGUCUAAAACAAUGAUGAUCCAUAAAGGCAUACAUUUUAUGAAAAUAAUAUAAAUUUAAAUAUUAAAUUAUGAAUUUUAUGAUGUCGUCCUGCAAAACAUUGUAGCUUUAUAAAUAUUAGUAAACUGUAUAAUAUUAUUACACUGUAUUAAAGUCUUCAAAGUAUAUAAUUAAAUAAAUACUUCUAAAAUGAAAGUCCAUUUACUUUAAAUCAUACCAAUAAACACACAUAAAAACAUGCAAAUAUACUAAUAAAAAUUAUCUUCAUGCAAAUAACAAGAUUAUGUAUAUAAAUGUAAAUUAACUUAUUUAGUCACACAAUUAUGUCAUGACUAAAUGAAAAGUCAUUUGGAAGACUCUAAAAUAUAAUAAACAAAUCUUACUAGAAACUAAUAUUUGGCAUACAUUAGAAUAAGGUUAAAGUUUUUAAUGUUAGAGUGACAUAAAACAUCUACUAUCAAACUAUAUAUGUAUAUCUACUAUGAAGUUUGAUUUAAAUCUCAUUUAAAUUUUCACAAUCUGUCUAUGUGAUUGAAUAACAAUAAAGUCAUGAUACUUCUUGUUUAUGACCAUCACCCAAGGUAUGAUACCACCCUGAGUAUCCCUACACCGCCCUUUAAGGGUCAUGCACCAACCUAGGAAGUGUCACCAUAUCUAGAGUCAAAUUUUAUAUACAUAUAUACCACUUUAUAUACAUACAAACACAAACAAACAAACAAACACGAAGGAUCAAUAAAAAAUGGUAUACAUCAUACAUACAUUAUAUCAUUCAUCUCGACACCAAUUAUAUAUUUAUCCAGAGCAUAUAAAAUCAAUCUCACAUUUUAUACAUUAUACAUACCAUGUAUAAAGACAUAUAACAUAUAUAAAAUAUUCAAUCAUGACAUAACAUCAUCACCAUCACAGUAAACUGUCACUUGAGCGAAAUGCAACAAAAAUGCAACACCCUCUCAGGGCUAUUCUCGCUUGAGGGACCACCUCAUCGCUCAAGCAUUAGUCACACUUGAGUAACAUCCACUAUUAAGUUUUAGAGAAUCCUUCCACUGCUUUUGGUAGCUUGAGCACCCAAGAGCUUGAGUGCUCAAACUAGCAUUGGAGCACCCAACGAUCGUGCUAAGCACUAAUAUGUCCAUGACACGAAUGCACCACCUCAGCCAUGGUUAAGUAUCCACCACAAUCCUCAAGCCAAAAAAGCUUAAGUUCCUUCUCCAACACUUGAGUGACUGAUAGUUGUCAUUUUGUUGCCAAAUUAAAAUGGUUCCAGUGUAGACUUGUUUAACGCUAAAGAAAUGAAAUGAUAGUAUACAAGUGGUCAGAUGAUCUCAAAUAAUAAAAUCAGUAAAUAAAUGUUUAGAAUCUAUAUGUAAGUAAUAAAAUUUAGCACUAACAAUAUAAAGAUAAAAAAGGGGUCGAGAUAGUUGUGCAAAAAAUAUAAAAGAGAUUAAAAUAACAAUUAAAACGCGGUUGAUCCUCAAGUUCUUCCACCAUUGAAUUCUUCAUAGGUUCUCUAAAGAUUAAUCAUUUUUCAAUCCUCCAACAGAGCUAAACCAAAUUGAACAUGCGCCAGUCUAAUUCAACUGAAACUCACCAGUAAAACAUGCGUCUACUGAUUUAAUCAAUACUCACUUUGUUCCAUGCGUAUACUCUAUGAGAAUGUUUAUCUCAUCUUUCUUGAAUCAUGUGUCCAAGAAAUUAAUUAGAACAAUGUGAACUAACUAAGAAACUAAAAUUUAAGAUAAGGAAGACUCUCAAUAACGCGUUCAAGUACAACCUCUCAUAAAAAUCAGUUUUCCAAGAUAUUAGAAUAUUAAAACAAUUGCUAUAAAGAAUUAAAAAUCGAAACUUUUAUUGAAAAAAACCUCAAAACUCAAUGGGAAAUUAUAAAAGAAUCAACCAAAAAAGUUUAGCCUCCCAUGUGGAGGCAAAACAAAAUAAUUACAAGAAAAAAGAAACUAAGAAAAUGCUAUGAAACUCCCCCCUUUCUCCUUGAUGCUUGUCUCCUUUUAUAGGGCUUUAUGCUCCAAGGAUCUUGGAAAAAUAUUGUAGUUUAGAUUUUGUUAACAAUUUCAAAGUUUUUGACUUUCCAAAGUUCUUGUAUUUUUGCAGAAGAUUUGCUUCCAAUUCUGUUUAUGAGAUAUUGUAACUUUUAUUUUCUCUUUAUUCUUCUUAGAAUUUGUUUUCUGUUUUGAUUGAAAAAGUAACUUGAACUUUUGCAUAUUUGGUCCAUUCACUAAGGUAGACUCUUCCUUCAGACCAUUUACUCUAAAAACACAAAAUAAACAAAAAUAAUAGUUAAAGCCCAAAUAAACUUAAUUAUAUGAAUAUUAAUUAAAACAAUUGAUUUAUUUAUUAUUAUAGUCCAAUAAUCCAUGAUUAAAGUUAUUGAGUGUGAAUAAAUAUAUGUUCAUCAGUGAUAUACUUUUAGAGAAGAGAAUUGACUCAACAUCUAUGUCACUUGAACAACAAGCCACAACUUGAACUAUAUAAUAUGUCACUUGGAUAACCAACACAUUUCCUAAGUGAUAUAAGACAAUAAGUGUAAUGAUUACAUAACUUAGGUCUCUCUUGAGUGUCAAGUGAUCGUAAAGCAACCCCAAAGGGCUCAAACAAAGGAUUUCUCAAAGAUUUCCAAAUUGUAUGUGGAUUCUUACUUUCCCAUGUUCAUCAAAGAGUUAUUUUAAGACUUAUAUCCAACAAUGUAUCAUCACAACAACUCUUCUAACAUGCAUAUAUUUUACAUACUAUCAACCCCCAUAUAUUACAUACAACUAACAACUAUCAUAUUGUAAAAAAAUGACAUAGUAACUCCCCUUGUCUAGAUUGAAGUAUGCUCUCAUAAUAACCAAUACUUGAUAAAUUUUUCUAAGACUCUAAUGAAUCUAGAGAAGUUCUCAAAACAUCAUUUAUAUGAGCAAACAUUUCCUCUAAAUCAUUCAUACAAGUAAAGAAGAAGAGAAGACAAAAAGAUAAGAAAACUCAUAUAUGAUUGAGGUUACUUACCAAAACUAACUUCUCAUCAAUCCAAAACAAUUAAUACCUUACUAACUCCACAAACCUCAAUCUAGUAAAGAAUCUAUAAUUAAAAACUCAAUCUACUGGUUUAAUUAGUACCCACUUUGUUCCAUGCGUAUACUUCAUGGGAAUGCUUACCUCCCCUCUCUUGAAUCAUGUGCCCAAAAAAUUAAUUAGAACAAUGCAAACUAACUAAGAAAUCAAAGUUUAAGAUAAGGAAGAUUCUCAAUCAUGCGUUCAAGUACAACCUCUCAAAAAAUUAGUUUUCCAGGAGAUUAGACUAUUAAAACAACUGGUAUAGAGGAUUAAAAAUCGAAACUUUUAUUGAACAAAACCUCAUAACUCAAUGGGGAAUUCCAAAAGAAUCAACCAAAAAGGUUUAGCCUUCCAUGCGGAGGCAAAACAAAAGAAUUACAAAGAAGAAAAAGAAACUAAGAAAAUCCUAUGAAGCUCUCUCUUUUCUCCUUGUGUCCUUUUAUAGGCUUUUCUGUUCCAAGGAUCUUGGGAAAAUAUUAUAGUUUAUAUUUUGUUAACAAUUUCCAAGUUUCCAGAUUUCUUAUAUUUUGCAGAAAAUUUGCUUCCAAUUCUGUUUCUAAGAUAUUGUAGAUUUUAUUUUCUCUUUCUUCUCGGAAUUUGUUUCUUGUUUUGGUUCAAUAAAAAAUUUGGACUUUUAUAUAUUUGACCCAUUCACAAAGGUAGAUGCUUCUUCCGGAUAAUUUACUCUAAAAACACAAAAUUACCAAUAAUAAUAGUUAAGACCCAAAUAAACCCAAUUAUAAACUAUGAAUUUAUUUAUUAUUAUAGUCCAAUAAUCCAUAAUUAAAGUUAUUGAGUGUGAAUAAAUAUAUGCUCAUGAGUAAUACAUUUUUAUCUAUGUAUAUAAUUUGAUCAUCUAAAUAUAUGUAUCUUGGUUGGCUGGGUUUUAAUUGUACAAGUCAAUUUAGAUGGGAUUAUCAUUAAACAGAAUGAACUAAAAAAAAUUCUCAUUUAAAAUGGCGGCUUUUACCAUAACUGUAGUUUUAUAUCUUUCAAGAGGGUAUAAAAUGACGACUUUUUACCAUAAUUGCCGUUUUAUAUCUUUCAAAAAGAUCUAAAACGACGACUUUUACCAUAACCGCGGUUUUAGACUGAAUAUAACACAACGAUUAUAUAGCCGUUGUCUUUGCUUAAAGAUAAUAGACUACAUGUUGAAAGACAACGAUAGAAGAACCGUUAUUUUAAUACUAAAAUGACCGUCGUGAUUUAACUUUUUUGUAUCAGUAAUUAUAAAGUUUUUUUUAGAGUGGUGGUGAUAAACAUAUAUCGAUUUGAAAUUAAUAGAGUUAGAAAGCAAGAAAAAAAAAUACAUGAAAAAUGUUAAAUAAUGUCAUAGAAAUAGAAAUGGAAGAGAAGUGUAAAGAAAUUUAAAUAAAAAUUAGAUGUGAGAGUAAGUUAGUUUAUAUUUCCUAAGGUUUAAUGUAAUUACACCAAUGUUACCUUUUUUUUUCUAUGUUAUACUUUAACUUAUAAUAAUCCUUUCCAUUAUUAUAAACUUUUUAAAAAUUACAUAUUUUUCAAAUUAUGCACUAAUAAGACGCAUGGUGAAUAAUAAGCAGUGUAGAUUGUGUAAAUAUAUGAGCUUCCAUUUUAUUUAUUUUAGUUUGUGUGACAGAUGAACAUUAUUAGCAGGAAAAAGAAGAAUGAGACUGUCACAGUGAAGGUGGUUUUUGGAGUCUAGAGGAUCUUGUUGAGGACGAUGUUGGAACGUUCAGAUUUUUGGUCCUUAAGAUUGAUGAACUUGGAAGAAAAAGACCAAGAGAGGACGUCGUGCGUUUCAUAGCUCCAUUGAUAAGCCCCUGAGGUGGCAGAGAACCCAACGCUCACCCAGUCGUAAACUUCUUUCUCCAGCUCCACUGUGGUAGAGACGUUGUUGCUCUUUCCCGUAGAAGGGUUUGACAGAGAAACCGAGAAGACCUUCGUGGAGGAGUUAUAGGUGAUCCGAACCUCGGCGUUUUGUCCGUCGUAGUCGUGUACAUCCCAAGGCACGCUUUUGAUAUCGUUGUUGUUCACGUCGAUGCUAAUACGGCUGAGGAAGGUGUCGAACUCCACAGUCACAGUAUCGCCUUUGGAUUCGGGCUGGACGGGGACGAGAACAAAGUCAAGGCCAACGGCGGAAUUUGCUUGGCGGUGAGUGCGGAUAUUCAUUGUGAAGUUGGUGUCGAAGCUGGCGACGUUGCCGGUGGUGCUGUCCCUGAUUUGGAUGGGGGCGGAGUAGAAGGCUCUGCUCAUAGAGUCGUAUGAAUUAUAGGAUAGUUGUAAGUUGCCGUUGGAUGAGACGGUGGCAUCGCCUUGAAGGAUAAGGUUGGUUUUGUUGAACGCAUCGAUGAUGAAGGAGGUUUCGGUGGCUGAGUUUGCGUGGCUGAGAAGCGCAAGGAAGAGGGCUAGGGAGAGUAACUUGGAGGAAGCCAUGAUCAUGCAUUCAUGCAUUAACCAUCACUCUCUUCUCUAUUUAUACAACAACAAAUGCAAAAACUCUCUACUUUAUGCAUUUUUUUUUCUUUUAUUAUAUUAUUUGAGGGAGAAAUAAGAAUAUAAAAAAAAAUUAAGCAACGAUGGCAAUGCAUCCACGUCAUCAAAAACAAUGAAAAAAAUAUGAAAUAAUUAAUUUAAAUUUAGAGAGAGAUUUAUGGAGAGAAACACAUAGCAUUGAGAAGUGAAAGGAAGACACAUGUGAAGAGCAAGGAGCUGAGGUGGCUGCAUGCAUGCAUGCAUGGGCAGUGGUGUCUUAGUGGGAAGAGGAGAAAGCUGAGGUGGCAGCGUGCAUGCAUGCAUGGGCAGCGGUGUCAUAGUGUGAAAGCCGCAGUGGAAAGUGAGAGGAAGGUAGGUGUGAAGAGGGAGCUGAGGUGGCAGCGUGCAUGGCGAGUGUCGAAGCCGCCGCCACAGUGCAGAUGGUACAACUUUUGUCCAUCGUCGUCUUUCUCAUCCAAGUUCCUCUUUAUAAUAUCUUUUACCAAAUCAUAUUUUAAAAUAAAUUAUUUUAAAUUCAUUUUAGUUUUAAAUAAAGUAAUAGUAUAUAUAUAACAAUAUAGAAUGGGUAUCAUUUUCUAAUUUUAUAUUUUAUAAUAUUAAAAUAUAAUAAAUUUAAUUAUUAUUUAUUUUGAAUUGAAAAUUUAGAAAAAAUUGAAAUUUAAAAAAAAAUAAAGAACUCAAAUUUAACACUUCUGUAAAUAAUUUUUUUUUAAAAAAACUGUGAAUAUGUUCAAAUAAAUCCAUAAAUAUUAACUUUUAUUUGGUUUUUUAUUUAAAGAAUAAUUUAUUCUUACUAUUAUAUUUAAAAUUAGAGUUUUUAAUCUUUUUAUAUAUAGUAAAAUUUAUAAUAAUAUUUAUAUAUUAUUUCAAUAAAGUUAUAAUAGAGAAUUUUUUUCCGCUUCAAACUCUUGUUGUAAUUGUUUGUAUCAACAUGGCGUUCCUUGCUCUCCCGACUAUUCUCCUCUUCUAUUCAUCUAAGGAGUUCAUUCCAUUGAGGGGGUUGUGUCAAGGAGAUCCGUUAACACCAUUUUUGUUUCUAAUUGCGGUUGAAGGUCUAGCAUGUGUGUAUACGAGAAAUUUUUUACUAAUAGUUUAUUCCAACCCCUUGUCUAGUUGCACGAACACGACCACAAUGCUUAGGUCGUCCAAUUGCUUCAACCAAGACGACCUUAAGGAACAAAAUUACCUUGGGAUUCCAAGGAAUCCUACAAGAGACAAAAAUCAUAGCAGUUUUUAAUAUAGUGAAUGCUUUAAAAUAAAUGAAAAAAGGCUAAAAAAUAACUUGCAAUUUUUUCGAUGAUAACCCCUGAUUGCUCAAAACUUGGUGCACCCGACUUUCGAAGUCGAAAAUUGCAUUGACUCGGCUUCAAGAGUAAAAUCAGAAUUUUGAACUAUACUCUUUUCAUCCAUAGACUUCGAGUAAAAUAUACAAUUAUUCCCUUCGUAUGCUUUACAAGAAAUAACAUCAAGCUUCAAUCCAGUCAACUAGGUCAAGGUCUUUGAUGUUGUUGAAUACUUUAACACCUCGUCUUUAAACCAAGGCAUGAAAGUUCUAUUAUGUUCCAUCAAGACCCAUUUCUCUUCUUGUCUUAGGUUAUUUGCCUUCACAAUGACUUUAUGAGCUUCUAUGUAAGAUAUAACUUCAUUUGUGUUAUUCAAUAUAUACAAAUGUGUUUGCAAAACUUCUGAUCGAAAUUUGCUUACAAUAUUCACAUCACGUAAACAUUUACUUGUAGAACAUCCAUGGUGCCAUCACGUUUUGUAGAACGAAGGUGCCAUAAAUUAGCUGAAAGACCUAUUAAAUGAACUCCCAUUUUAUUUAUUAUAGUUUGUGUGACAGAUGAACAUUAUUAGCAGCAAAGAAGAGUGACUAUAAGUAGCGUUACUAUGAAAUUAUUUGGGAACAUUGUUUGGCCUAAAAAAAAAUGUUAAAGCAAAGUACAUAGUCGUAAAAUCAGAAUCAUGUGAUCAACGCAUCAGAUACUUGGAAGAAAUCUUUGAAUAUCUUAGGUGAAUGAACAUGCCGCUUAACCCAAAAAGUGUGCGCGUUCAGAUAUACAAGUUAUUGAGAUUUAUACUAACCCAUCGAAAUAUCCAGACAAAUGUGGGGCGAUGGCGAUAACAACAUGAUAAAAAAUACAAAAAGAGUAUAAUAGAGUAAACUCCAUGAUGGUAUUAUUUUGGAAAACUUUUCUUUAACAGUCCAAAGUUUGGAGUAAAAAACAAACAUUUGACAGCUCCUUUUAAUAAUAUAAUAAUAUAUGAACUUCCAUUUUAUUUAUUUUAUUUAAAAAUGAUUUUUUAACACUCGUAUUUACCUUUAACCCAAUAAAUAUUAAUAUUUUAAUUAUUAUUUUUUAUUAUAUUUUCAUUAAGGAAUUAAGGAAGUAGAGCAAAGAACACUGAGUGUAAGCUAUCAUCACCCUAUUUUAUUUUAUUUUCUGUGACAGACAAAGAGAAACAUUAUUAGCAGGAAAGAACACUGAGUGUAAGCAGUGAUUUAGUGUCACAGGGAAGGUGGAGAUUGAGUCUAGAGGAUUUGGUUGAGGGCGAAGUUGCCAAGAUUCAAAGCUUCAGAUGUGGUGCCAUCGGAGAGCUUGGAAGCAAAAGACCAAGAGAGGAUGUCGUUCGUUUCAACGUUCCCUUUAGUAAUCCCAGUGGUGGCAGUGAACCCAACGAUCACCCACUCGGGAAGAACGCUCUUCAGGUCCACUGUGUCAGAGACGAUGAAGCUUGUUUUCAGAGAAGGGUAAACCAGAGAAGCCACCAAGAGCUUCGUGGAGGAGUCAUAGGUGAUCAGAACCUCCGCGUUUUCUCCUUUGACAAAAUCCCACGUCGUCGUUUUGAUAGACUUGAUGGAGUUCACGUCGAUGCCAAUAUGACGCGGUUUGGGGUCCCAGUGAACGUUGUAGAGGGUGUCGAACUCCACAGCCACAGUAUGGGCAUUGCUGUCGUAUUUGUAGUUGUUGAACAGACCUAGAAGACCGCCUUUGUCUUUGGGCUGAGAGCCCACGGGGAGGAGAACAAAGGCAAGGCCAUCGGCGGGUCCUGAAUUGUUGGGAACGUCGAUAUUGAAUGUGAAGGAGGUGGCGAAGCUGGCCACGGCGCCGGUGGUGUUGUCCCAGAUUUGGAUGGGGGCGGAGUAGAAGGCACGGCCCAGAGAGCUCAACGUGGGUUCUCCGUUGUCAUUAACAUUGGUUAGUCGUAACUGGCCUUUGGAUGAGACGGUGGCAUCGCGUUGGAGGAUAAGGUUGGUUUCGUUGAACCUUUGGAAGCUGAAGGAGGUUUGGCUGGCUGAGUUUGCGUGGGUGAGAAGCACAAGGAAGAGGGCUAGGGAGAGUAAGUUGGAGGAAGCCAUGUAUGCAUUCAUGCAUUAACCAUCACUCUCUUCUCUAUUUAUACAACAACAACUGCACUCUCUCUCUCUACUUUAUGGAUUCUUUUUUCUUUUAUAAUAUUAUUUGAGGGAGUAAUAAGAAUAUAGAAAUAACAAUUAAGCAACGAUGGCAAUGCAUACACGUCAUCAAAUACAUUGAAAAAAUAUGAAAUAAUUAGUUUAAAUUUAAAGAGAUAUUUAUAGAGAGAAGCGGUUGGCACGUAGCAUUGGAAAACACGGGUGAAGAGGAGGGAGCUGAGGUGGCCGCAUGCAUGCAUGCAUGGCCAGUCGUGUCAUAGUGAAAAGAGGAGAAAGCUGAGGUGGCAGCGUGCAUGCAUGCAUGCAUGGCCAGUGGUGUCAUGGUGUCAAAGCUGCAGUGGAAAGUGAGAGGAAGAUACGUGUGAAGAGGAGCGAGCUGAGGUGGCAGCAUGCAUGCUGCAUGCUGACUGUGAAACCCGCCACAGUGCAUAUUGUACUAACAAAGGGGUGUGACUACUUCUGGAUCUAGGCCGAGUCACUUGCGUCCAUUUUCGCCAAGUAUUGUGUGUCGCACACAAUAAUAAGUUGGCAAUUCAUCGACCGAAGGCUGCAGUCUUUUUACGAUGACCUCAUAAUCAAAUCCAUAACAGUCUUGGUCGAACACCCCAGAGGAACAAACAGGCCUAGGCUACCAAUAAUGUGUAAAUGAACUCAAGAAGCGGCUCAGCAGGUUAAAAGGCCGAUGGACUGAAGAAAUGUUAGAAGUCUUGUGGGCAUACCACUGCACCCCCGGACAACCAUGCAAGAAACAUCGUACAACCUGACGUAUGGCACGGAAGCAAUGAUACCGGUCGAGGUAGGUGAGCCUACCAUCCGAUGACAGUUGUUUGACCUGACCCUGAAUGAAGAGAGUCUAUCGGUUAGCCUGGACUUGGUCAGCAAACUUCAUGACAAGAGCAAAAUUCGAGAGGCGGCGUGCAAGCUUCAGGCGGCAACACGCUACAAUACAAAGGUCUGAGAUGUUUUUUCGUAUUACUUAAUUUCUAUCCAUCAUUAUUAUAUAUAAUUUUAUAUAUGGUUAAUGUUUUAAGAAUCUGUAAAAAUAUUUUUUCGUAUUACUUAAUUUCUAUCAAUCAUUAUUAUAUAUAAUUUUAUAUAUGAUAAUAAAAAAAUGUGUCUAAUUUUAUUUAAUAUUUAAUAUUUUAAGAAUCUGUAAAAAUAUUUGUUCUUUAACAUAAUCCAUACACAAUUAUCCAAUUUUUUGUUCUUUAAAACUAACACUCUUAAAAAAUUAUAUAUAAAAUUAAUUUUUAAAAUUACAUAACUUACUACCCAAUAUAUAAACAAUAAAAUUAAAAAAUAAAAAUUAUGACGUGGCAGAAGUCGUGUCAACUUGGCACGACUUUUGUAUGACAAGGCAAAAGUCGUGCCAAGUUGGUACGACUUCAGUAUGACGGGGCAGAAGUCGUGCCAAGUUGGCACGACUUCAGUAUGAUAGGGCAGAAGUCGUGCCAAGUUGGCACGACUUUAGUAUGACAUGGCAUAAGUCGUGCCUAACUGGUACGACUUCUGCAUAUGAAGUCGUCCCAAUUAGGCACGACUUGCCUAAAUUUAUAAUUUUUUUUAAACGGGCACCAUUUUGGUAAAAAAAAAAAAUAACCCCAUCAUGGUCAAUAAACCGUGAAACCUGCCACAGGGCACAACGCCAUUAUGCAGAUAAUGUUAAGAAGUGUACCAAUUAAUCUAUCACACAUUCUUCUCAACAUUGAUUUUUAAACUCGACCAAUACAGAAGAUCAAAGAAGAUUGAUUUUUUCUUCCAAAUAUUUUUCACAAAUGACUUUUUUUUUUUUACUUACUGAAGGUGUGAUCUAUGUUAUUUACCUUUUUUAUAAACCUCAACACCAGUUAAUGCAAUUGGUGGACCACUUGAUGGAGAUGUCCCUUCAUAGUUUUCAGAUUUUGUUGGUGAAUGGCGGAAGCAUCAUGGAUUGAAGACGAAGCAAGGUCCUCCUAAGAGUGGUGGUGACCUUGAAGGUGCAUGAGAGGUAGGGAUUGAGAGUGGUCAGGCCAACUCUACUUGGAAAGGGGAAAUUUGUGAAGAUUAAAAGCCUAACCUAAGAGGUUUAGGGCAAGAAGUGAAAUUGCCACAAUUUGGCAGCAAUUCACUAAGUAUAUUAAUCUUGAAUUUACAUGACCCAAGAACCUCAUUAUAUAGCAAGUGAGGGCUGGAUUUGACAAGAGAAUUGGAGGGAAAUUCAAAUGAAAAAGAAUUUGAAAUUGGCGCCUAUUUUACACUUAGCAUAUGGAGCACAUGAAGCAUAUUUAACAUGUGAUGGAAAACGUUUAGCACAUGUUAAAUAUGGAAUAUGUGGAAAAUGUGCCUUGGUUAAACAUAGCCGACCUUGGUUAAAAUUGGGUGUUUUAGAAAUCAUAAUUUAACCAAGGUUGGUUUUUAGGUGCCAAAUUUCAUUUAAGGAAAAAUUACAAAUAAAAUUUCUAAUCUAAUUUUGACAAGAAAUUAAAGUCUACUCUACACUAGAGUUUAUGGCAUUUGAACAUGUAAAAAAACGUCUUCUUGGAUCCUCUUGGCCAUAACUCUAGGGGUUGGCUUAAAUCUACCCUUUGGUGAGCUUACAUGUGGGCUUGUGCUUAGGCCUCUUCCAUCACCACUAGUCUCUUGGUGUCCAUUAAAGGCUUUUUUGAACCUCCGGUAAAGAUAAUGACUUUUAAGAAACCUCUGAUGCCAAAGAUAUACUGUAUUCCUUCCAUGUUUCAAUUGUUGAGAAGCAGUGUAUUCUUCGCAUAUUGGACAUGCUUUAUGACCCUUAACACUAUAAUAUACAAUCAUUAGGACAUGCAUGUAUCUUUUUAUACUCCAUACCCAUUGAACAAAGAAUCUUUUUGGCAUCAUAAUUACGAUUUGGUAGAGUAUUUCCUUCUGGAAGCAUAUCCUUCAACAACUGAAGCAAUUCUGUGAAGUUUUUAUCAGUCCAUCCAUUUAUUGCCUUCAAAUUCAUCAAUAUUAACAUCGUCGACAAUCGUGUGAAAUUAGUUGCUCCAGGAUACAAUGGAGUCUUUGCAUCGCUUGAAAUACUUCCAUAUUUAUGCACUUCUGCAAAAGACUGAGCUCCCACAUCAUGAAUCAUGUCCUUCAAUCGAUUGUCAUCUACAUCAUCAUGUACUUCAUCAUCCAUGGUGGACCCCACAUAUUCUUUAGUUACGGAAACAUGUGAUAAAUUUAACAAUUCACCAUGUCAUGUCCAAGUUAUAUAAGAUUUAAGAAACUCAUCACAUAGCAGGUGCUCCCUCAUUAUCAUAACAUCCAGUAUUCUUCAAUUUAAACAAUUAACGCACAAACAUCUGAUCUUUGCUCCAUCAUGACCACUAUUAAUCGUGUUAUGUUGUGCAAAUUGUAUAAAUUCUUCUACUCCUCUUUCGUACUCAUCACUUAUGCGAAGAAAAUUUAUCCAAUUUUGAUCCAUUAUAUUCUGAAAUAGUCAAUCAGGUGUUUUUUAAUCAAUGUUCUAUCUCACGCGUUUGUCAAGGGUCGAACACUCUCGGACUCAAUACCAACACGUAUCAAUUGUCGAGGGUGGAACACCCUCGGACUCAAUACAAAACACGAUAAUUCUAUUCAAAACUAACAACUAUCAUAAUAUAAAUACAAAUUAUAAUAAACACUAAAUAAUAUAAAUUUUAAAAAUACAAACUAUAAUAUAUAAAAAAAAUCAUAACAUUAAAUAAAAUUAAAAAAAAUAGAAAAUAUCACCAACGUUGUGUGUUAAGGCAAUGUUGGCCAAGAGUGACACGGCGAAGGCAGCUGACGCGGUGGUGAACACAGAAACAGCGACGGAACACACCAGAAACCAAAGAAAAACCCACGUAUAGAGAAGAAAGAAAAUAAGAAAGAGUGAGUGACACGCUUCCACGAAAGAAAAUAAGAAAGAGUGAGUGACACGCUUCCACGUAUAGAGAAGAAAAAAAAGAAGAAAGAAAAUAAGAAAGAGUAAGUGACACGCUUCUGAAACUAAGGUAAAAAUGAUUUACGAAUGCGACUAUUAGCCACACUCGUAACUCAAGCGCUUUGAUUUACAAGUGCGGUAAAACCAUGUAAAUUUAUUUUUAGAGUGGUGGUGAUAAACUUAAAUCGAUUUGAAAUGGAUAGAGUUACAAUUUUUUUUUAUCGACAAUAGAUAAAGUUAAAAAAUAAAAAGAAAAAUACAAAAAAAAUAUUAAAUAAUGUUAAAAAUAAAAAUAAAGAAAUUUAAAUAAAAAUUAGAUGAGAGAGUAAGUUAGUUUAUAUUAUUUCUUUAGUGAUUUAAUAACUGCAAAAAGAAGAGAGUAAAUUUAAGUAAUAUUUACUAAGGUUUAAUGUACUUUAAUCUAUGUUAUACUUUAACUUAGAAUAAUCCUUUUCAUUACUAUAAACUUUUUAAAAAUUACAUUAUGUACUAAUAACACGUGUAAACUCUAUUUUGGAAAACUUUUCUUUAACAGUCAAAGUUUGGAGUAAAACACAAACAUUUGACAGCUCCUUUUAAUAGUAUAAUAAUAUAUGAGCUCCCAUUUUAUUUAUUUUAUUUUCUGUGACAGAGAAACAUUAUUAGCAGGAAAGAACACUGAGUGAAAGCAGUGUUUUAGUGUCACAGGGAAGGUGGAGUUUGGAGUCUAGAGGAUUUUGUUGAGGACCAAGUUGGCGAGAUUCAAACCUUCAGAUGUGGUGCCAUCGGAGAGCUUGGAAGCAAAAGACCAAGAGAGGACGUCGUUCGUUUCAACGUUCCCUUUAUUAAUCCCAGUUGUGGCAGAGAACCCAACGCUCACCCACUCGGGAAGAACGCUCUUCAGGUCCACUGUGUCAGAGACGAUGAAGCUCGUUUUCUGAGAAGGGUAAACCAGAGAAGCCACCAAGAGAUUCGUGGAGGAGUCAUAGGUGAUCAGAACCUCGGCGUUUUCUCCGUUCACAAAAUCCCACCGCGUCGUUUUGAUAGACCUGAUGGAGUUCACGUCGAUGCCAAUAUGACGCUCUGUGGGGUCCCAGUCCUUGUUGUAGAGGGUGUCGAACUCCACAGCCACAGUAUGGAAAUUGCUGUUGCUGCCGUCGAAAAGACCUAGAAAACCCCCUUUGUCUUUGGGCUGAGAGCCCACGGGGACGAGAGCAAAGGCAAGUCCAUCGGCGGGUCCUGCAUUGUUGGGAACCUGUAUAUUGAAUGUGAAGGAGGUGGCGAAGCUGGCCACGGUGCCGGUGGUGUUGUCCCAGAUUUGGAUGGGGGCGGAGUAGAAGGCGCGGCCCAGAGAGCCCACCCUGGGUUCUCCGUUGCCAUUAAGAUUGGUUAGUCGUAACUGGCCGGAGGAUGAGACGGAGGCAUCGCGUUGGAGGAUAAGGUUGGUUUCGUUGAACCUUUGGAAGUUGAAGUAGAUAUCGUUGCUUGAGUUUGCGUGGGUGAGAAGCACAAGGAAGAGGACAGUGAAGAACUUGGAGGAAGCCAUGUAUGCAUUCAUGCAUUAACCAUCAUUCUCUUCUCUCUAUUUAUAGAGAGAAGAGGUUGGCACGCAACACUGCGACAUGAGAGAAAGACACGGGUGAAGAGGCGGGAGCUGAGGUGGCAGCAUGCAUGCAUGCAUGGCCAGUCGUGUCAUAGUGAGAAGAGGAGAAAGCUGAGGUGGCAACGUGUAUGGCCAGUGGUGUCAUAGUGUGAAAGCUGACGUGGCAGCAUGCAUGGUGAGUGUGAAAAAGGCGCCACAGUGCAGAUGUUACUAACAAAAGCGGUGUGCCAUGCAACUUUUGCCCAUCGUCGUCUUUCUCAUCCAAGUUCCUCUUUAUAAUAUCUUUUACCAAAUCAUAUUUUAAUAUAAAUUCAUUUUAAAUUCAUUUUAUUUUUAAAUAAAGUAAUAUUAUAUCCAUAAAUAUUAACUCUCAUUUAACACAUUUUCAAAUUUAACACUUCUGUAAAUAAAUUUAUUAACAAAAACUUGUAAAUAUGUUCAAAUAAAUCCAUAAAUAUUAACUUUCAUUUUAUUAACAAAAAAAUCUUUACUAUAAGCUUAUUAAAAUGAUUAUGAUUUUGAUACCUUGGUAAGAAGUGUACUUUAAGUUUAACUCAAUCUCAUAAAAUCGACUUAUAAGAUGAGAUUUACAUCCAUUUAUAUGCUAUGAAAUUUUUUAAUCUCUAAUCGAUGUGCGAUGUCCAACAAUUACACUAAAUUUUCAAUCAAGAUAUAAAAGAAUAAAAAUUUAUAUCUUAUUUUUCCUACUCCAAAACUAAAAAAUAAUAAUUUAUUUUAUAAUAACUUUUCACAUUUAUAGAUAACAUUCCUCACUAGUGCAAAAUGUAGAAACAACUACAGUUUAUUAAGUACGACUUUACGAACAGACACAGUCUUUAAAAAUGCGGUGACAUUUUUUAAAUUAAAUUCAUUUACAAAUGCGGCUAUUUGUAAUAGUCACAUUCAUAAAUCAAGCAAUUUGCAUUUGUAAAUCAAAGCGCUUGAUUUACGAAUGCGGCUUCACCUAUAGCCACACUUGUAAUCGAAGCGUUUGAUUUAUGAAUGCGAUUAUUACAAAUAGUCACAUUCUUAAAUCAUUUUUUACCCUAAUUUUUGAAGCGCGCCACUUACAUUUUUUUAUUUUCUUUUUUCUAUUUGUGUUUCGCAUUUGCACUUAGUGUUCAUCUCUUCUUCUGCAGCUUCAUUAAUUUUGUUUUCGUGCCUCCGUAAGUAUCUUCGAGCUGUCUUUCUUCUUCACCAAUGUAUAUAAAUCUUUUUCCUUUAUCUUACUUUGUUUGGUUUGUUGCACUCAAAGUAUUGUUGCAUUAGUGGGUUCUUAUGUGGUUUCUGGAUUUUAAAAUUUAUAUUAUUUAGUAUUUAUUAUAAUUUGUAUUUAUAUUAUGCUAGUUGUUAGUUUAGAAUAAAAUUAUCGUGUUUGUAUUGAGUGCGAAGGUGUUCCACCCUCAACAAUUAAUACGUGUUGGUAUUGAGUUUGGGGUGUUUGACCCUGAUAAGUUACGAUAAGCUCAAAAUGACUCUGAUAUCAUGUUAAAAAAUGGACUUUAAACUUAAUUCAAGCUCAUAAAACCAACUUAUAAGAUGAGAUUUGCACAUACUUAUAUGUUAUGAAAUUUCGUAAUCUCUAUAGUUGAUGUAAUUUCAAGAUAUAAAAGAAUAAAAAAUUAUAUUUUAUUUUUCCUACUCCAAAACUUUUAUUUUAUAAGGUGUUUAUUUUAUAAAAGAAUUACAAGAUAUAAAAGAAUAAUAAUUUAUUUUAUAAUAACUUUUCACGAUAACAUUCGUAGUGCAAAUUUAUUAAAAUAAUAUUGUUAGUUUUCUGAUAAGUUUAUAGAACGAAUUUCUAAUAAGCUUUUUAUUUCUUCUCAAUCUCCAAAGCAUGUACUCUCAACGAUGCAGAUCAGUUUUAGUCUGAAUAUGUGUACUAGUUUAAGAUUAUGUUUUUCUUAUAUAUCGUGUUUAUAAGGUGUUUUAUUUAUUUGUUUAUAAUAGUUUUAAACUUUUAGUUGUAUAAAUAAUUAAAUUUGUCCAAUUCAGAUUAAUUACUUCUUAAUCAUGAUUUGUAGGGCCACUUACACUGUGAUUUGUUAACUAAUAAAAUAGAAAGAAUGUAACGUGUCAAGAUAACGAAAGAUGGUUUAAAAUUCAUGGUAAUUAGACUUAAUAAUUGAAUAUUUGCUUUAAAAUUUAUAAUUUUUUCAAAAAGUCUUUUAGAAAGUUAAAAGAUAAAAAUAUAUUUAAUUGUUUUCUUAAUCCCAACUUGUAUUUGACUAUUUCACACAGAAGAAAGAAGAACUUUAAAUCACAACUUUAGAUUAACAAUAUAUUGUAUUACUUAAACCAAUUAAACAAGUAAUUGAAAAUUGCAAAUUUAUAUUAACAACAAAACUAUCACUACCAGUUUUUAAAAAUCAAAAUAAUUAGUUAUAAUAAUAACUAAAUUAGAUAUCUUAAAAAUUAAAAAAAAAAAAAUUUAAAUUAAUUUUUAUUAUUGUUAAAUAAUUUUAAAAUUGAUAUGUAAUUAGCAACCAAGGUUUUAAUUUCCAAUUAUUUAGUUUCUAAAUUUGAUAGAAAAAAUAUUUGUUGCUAAUUAGAUGUUAAUUUAAAAAUAAUUUUUUUUUUAGUUUUAUUACAAUUAAUUAUUUUAAUCUCUAAAAAUUGAUUUUUAUUUUAUUAUUUUCUUAUUUUAACGAAUAAUUUUAUCAAUAUGAAAUAAUAACUCUUAUGAUGAAUGAGAAUAUUAAUAUUUACAUUGGUAGUUUGACUUUAUUAACUGAACUUUAUAUGCAUGAAAUUUAAAUAUUAUUUUUGUAAAAGUAUCUUAACAAUUAAAUUUAGCAAGAGAAUUUAAUUUGAUUUUGAGAGAGUUUUUUUGUAUUUUUGUCUUGGUAGGGAAAUGGUAUCUGUCUAUAGUGAAAAGUGAAAAUGAGGUGCAUGUGAAAAAGCUUUUCAUUUGUAGAAGUGCUUAGAAUCACGUUUCUUCACUUAUUUCAUUAACGUUGUGAUUGGGUUUUAGGAAGCGGUGCUGACAUACCAAACAAAUCACACGGCAUUCACGAAACACUGACCAGUUGUCGGCAAAACUUAACAAAAUUAUGUUUUUUAAUAUUUUUUUUUCUUAAAAAAAUAUUUUUAUGAUUUUAAUAAAUUUAAUUUUAUAAUAGUGUUUGCCUAUAUUAGAUAAAAAAAAAUUAGUCAAGAUAAAAGAUAAUUUAUAUAUAUAUAAAUAUUUUUUUUUAAUUCAUUAAAAUAACUUUUAAAACUAAAAUUAUGAUGGAGUUUUGAGUAUUAUUUUUAAAUAUAAUGGUUGAUUUUAACAUUAUUAUCUGAAUGAAACAAAUUUUAGAAAUUUCGAUUCUUGGUUCGAUCUGAUUGAUAUAUUUAAAUAAAGAGACUAAUAAAUUUAAACGAUAAAUAAAUUUGAAAUAAUAUUUUUAAUUAUGGUCCGUAUGUUAAUUUGGUCUAAGAAUAUGAUUCAUAAUUAAUUAUUAUGUAAAUAGUUAUAAGUUUUGAGAAGAAAUAAUGUUAAUUAUAUUAAAUAUUAAAUAUUGAAUAUUUACUUGAUUUUCGAAAAAAAAAGUAAGCGAGUGAAAUAUAAAGUAAUAAGUUUUUCUUAAUUUUUCUUAAUCUCUUUCCGUAUUAUAAAAAUAAUAAUUAAUAUAUAUGUAUAUAUAUAUAUAUGAAUAUAACAGUAGUGUGUGAAUAAACUAAUUUUUUUAUUAUAAAAUUACAAACAUUGACAUAUACAUUUAUAUGAUAGAGACGGAUAUGGAAUGUAGGAUACGGAGACACAAAUCUAUAUAUUAUAUAAUUAUGAAUUAUAUAAAUUGACAAUAAAGAUUUAUGCUUACAAAUUAUUUUUUAGAAUAGAAAAAUGUUUUUCAUGGUUCACAAUGAUUUGUUUCUUAUCUUUAUAAUCAUAAUAACAAUUUAUACAAUAAAAUUUGAAUUUUUAAAAAAUUAAUAUAUUUUUUCUUUCUAAAAUUAUGUUAAACCGUACUAGAAUUAUCAGAAAUCUAACAAAUAAUUUUUUAGUGUCCUACCGAUGCAUACAAAUAUCGUUGUCCAAUACAAAUAUCGGACACAACACAUCAUUCAAAAAAAUUGUAUGAAUUUCAUUACUAAUAAAAAUAUAAAAAUAGCAUUAAAGGAGUGUUGGCAAUGCAUCCACGUCAUAAAAAAAUAAAAAAAGGUUGAAUAAUUAAUUUAAAUUUUGGGAGAUAUUUAUAGAGAGAAGCGGUUGGCACGUGGCAGUGGAGAGUGAGAAGAAGGCACGUGUGAAGAGGAGGGAGCUGAGGUGGCAGCAUGCAUGGUGAGUGGUGUCAUGGGGAAGUGUGAAAGCCGCCACAGUGAGCUGCACCGAAGCAGUGUGCCGUACAACUUUUGCCCAUCGUUGCUUGCGUACCCUAACGUCUUUCUCAUCCAACCUCCUCUUUAUAAAAAUAUCUUUAACCAAAUCAUAUUUUAAUAUAAUGAAAAGUAAAAUAAAAGAUAAAAAAUAUUAAAAAUCACAAAAUGUAAAUAACAAAGUAAUGUAUUUUAUAAACAGUUAUAAAACAUUGAAUAUAAAAAAAGAAAUAAUUGGUAAAUUGAAGAGAUGGAGAAAGAGAUAUAGCAAGUUGAGAGAGAGAGGUACUUAUAGAAUGGUACAUUUUGGUGGGGCAUUAUGUCAGAGAACAAUAUAACAUAUCUAAAUGGGACCCCUCUUUUCAUUUGAGGAAGACAAGACCAGGAACAUGCUCUGCCCUUCCCUUGCAAAAAAAACUUAUCAUCAAAUUUACCUAACUCUACCUCUUUUCUUUUACAAUAAUCAUUAUCAAAAUCAUUUUCUCAUCUACCACUUAUUAUUAGAUUUGCCGAUUAAAUAUAAAGUUAAUUUUUAAUUUUAUUAAAAAAAAAUUAUUGUUCUUGUUUGAGAGGAUAAGAAGAAUUUAUGGAUUGAAUUUUAUUUUUAUUUUUUUUAAACUUUUUUUAAUCGUUAGAGUUUCAGUUUUUAUUCGAAGAAAAUUCAUAAGUUAUUCGACAUUAAAAAUUCAGUAUUCAUAUGUAAUGUAAUAUUUGUAAUGUAUAUUGUUAACAAACGGGGUGUUUGGUGGCAAAGUUGUUAGCAUGUGGUGCAUAGUUAUGUUUGGGUUUAGGUUUGGUUUAUAGUUAUCUUUUUAAAUUUGUUGAUGAACUUUUCUAGGGAUUUUUUCUUCUUUUGGCAGAUUUCAACUAGUACGAUGGGAUAAGAUGGUGGGGUCGGCUGGUUGCGAAUUACAUUUCAAAUUUGGACAUAGUGUUGUGAAAUUGUUGAUGGCAUCACUAAAAGGAUGUCGGCAGAUUGAGUCUAGGAUAUUAAUUGUAGGGAUCGACUUGUUCGAAUGACUUUCUGGGUGUGAACUUUGUCUUUCGGCUCCUCAACAGUCUUGGGGCUGGUGGGGUGGUGAAGGACUUGCCGAUAAGAUUGGUCGGUCCAAAGACGAUCCCCCCUCCCCGAGCUUCCUUCUCAUCUUUUCAUUCUCCUUUCGGAGAGCUAGGAUCUCAUUCCCAUUCUUCCGAGUGACCUCCUCGUUCCUUCUCUUCGUCUUAGCCAUCUCUUUGUGUAAAGACAUCAACAAUGUCAUCUGACCCCCUUUGGGCAUCCUUUCGUUAGUCAUGCUUCGGGUUGAUACCGUUUACUUUCUUCUUCACAUGAAUUCUCUUGACCCCACGGUGGACACCAAUUGUUCUCGAACGGGGUUGGGACUUAGAGAACGAUUGAAACUACUCUUCUGAUUCCUUUGUCGGUCGGUUGGUUUGCACUUCUGUUCCUCUCCUUGCAAACUCCUCACUCUCCUCUACUCAUUCCUUUCCUCGAUCUUCACGAAAUUCAUACAUGGAUUGUAUUUGUAGAAGACAAGUUAGAUUUAGUAUUUGACACUCAAUAUUCUAAGUAUUGUGUAAUGACGUAUCUAAUUCUUGAAAUGUGUAUUAUUUAUAUUAUUUUAGUUUAUCUUUUUUAUUGGAUCAAAUUAGAGAAUUUGGAUUAUAUUUAGGAGUGUAUUACCUAACUUAAGCAUAAUUAGACUUGUAGUGUCGAUCCAAUGACGAAAACCAAGUCAUUGAUAGUGUGAAUCUGUAAAAUAAUAAUAUAAAAAUAUUUAUUUAUAAUACAUGAUGAGCCUCUCUAAUAUUAAAUCUUAAUUAAAGCAUGUGUCAUAAUUAAUAUUUAUAUUAUUUAAUUUCUAUACUAUUUAAUCAUCAUUAAUAUACAUUUUAAAAUAUAGGAUGACACACUAUAAUUUUUUUACGGUACAAUAACUAUUAUAGGAGUGUUUAUUUUCAAAGUUCAAAAAAUCUAUCCUCAUCUGAUAAUAUGUGAAUAAAUGAUAAUGUGGAUUUUUACUAUCCAUAUAAAUUAAAAUUCUUUACCAGACGUGAAGAUAGAAAAGUAAAGAAGCUUUUUCAGAGUUUUUAAAAAAAGAAAAGAUUUGGAUAAUAUUAUAAAGAAAGAAAAAGGGUGGAAAUGGGUUUAUUCGAAUGUGAUGUGGUAGAAGAGAAAAAAAGUUCUCAUCUAUCAAACUUUUUUUAUUCCACCACAACAACAUUGUCAGUGCCUGCUUCGGUAAAGAGACAACGUGCUUUUGUACAAUUGCUUUAAGCUAUUUACAAUUCUAAUUUGAAAACAUUUUACAUGAUAUUAAUGUAGCUUCAUCAUUAAAAAAAACUAUACGUGGGGAUAUAAUACAGAUAAAAAUAAAUAGAAAUUUAAUUUAAAAAAAUCACAGAAUUAAAAUAAAUAAUGAUCUGAUUUUUUUUUUUUAAGAUUUUGAUUACAAGUCUUGAAAAGAAUAAUAAGAUAAGAGGAAUUAAAGUUUUUCUUGUUCUUUGAGAUCAAAUGAUUCACGAACAAAAUUAAGGACUCAUAUGGUGGUUUUGAUUGUAACAUCUAAAAACAAAUAAGUUUUUGGUUGUAAUAAUUUUCAAUUUAAAUUAUGAUAAGUAGUAUAAUCUAGGAUUGAUAUGAUUUCAUAAGUACCAUAACCAAAUUUAAAUAUAAAAUAUGUUAUUCAACUUUAUUUGUUAUAAAUAAUUUCUUAAAUUUUAAAUUUAUAAAUAAAAAUACAAUUAAAUGAAGGAAGUCUUAAUGUAAUUCAUCACUUUCCAUUCCAUGCAUUAAUUUAACAAAGUCUAUAAAUAAUUUGUAAUUAAUAUUUCUCAUGUCAGAACUCCACUUAUCAAUAUCUAUAGACACUUAAUUAUACUUUUGAAAGACUCGUGUAAUGACUUAAACUCAAAUAUUUGUACUUGUCCUACUAUCUCGCUAUGAAUCCACGGAGUCAUGUGCAUAAUAAUAUUAGUACCAAAUCAUAUCAUAUGACACAGUUAAUUCAUAUGAAAUGUCACACACGUUAUAUUUCAAAUUGUAGACUCAAUCAUAUGAGCAUCAUUCAACUUUCACCACCAGAUAAUCUUCGUUUAUAUGAUUCCACUAUACCAUUAAAGUUAAGAUACAUUAUUUUAGACGAAUCUCUAAUUAAUACAUAUCAUAGCGAUCUAAACACAAUAUUUUCUUUCUUGAAAAUAAUGUCUCAAUCACAAUUUCACACUAUUCAUUUUUCAUGACAAAUAAUUUAACUCAAAAUAGACUAAAAAAAAAAACAACUUACUCUAAUCAAAAUUAUAAUUAAAAAAUUUUACUUUGUUCAUUAUCAAAAGUCUAAAAAAAAUGUCCUCCCAUAGUCAAUCUUGUAAAUGUAAAACUAAAAAAUUAGAAAGAAAAUAAAAAAAAGAAAAAAUUGUAAAAAAAUAUAAUUAUAUUAAAUAAAAUCUAAAUAACUAAUUUUUUUAUUUAUAUAUAUUUUUCAUUUUAAUUAUAUAUAAAAUUAUCUUCUAACUCCAUUACAUUUACUAAAUGUGUUUAAUAAUAUUUUAAUAGAAACUUGCCACCAAUAACGCUAAUAAAUAUUUUGUGUAUAGAAAGCAGAAAUGUCAACAAUAUAUUUUCUAAAAUAUAUUAUUUGUUAGCGUUUAAUAGAAAUUACAAAGGAAAAAACUGUCUUUAUUUAAUAAUUUUUCUUAAUAAUAAAAUAAUGAAAUAUUUAUUAUUUAAAAAUAGGCUAGAAAUUGAAUAUAUUUCACUUGAUGGAUCUGACAAGUGAGAAAGUGUGGAAAAGAUUAACACAAGAAAGGUAGGUGGAGAGAAUGGAUCCAAUCAAUGCUAAAGUAAAAUGACAACACUUUUUUCUCUAAAAAAAAAUGAUAAAACCAACGUCCCAAAGUAGAUGAGAACAGUUUUUAUCAUUAAAAAAAGUACCAAAAGUUUGAUCUGUAUGAAGAAAGAGAAUACAAGUGAAAAAAAUAAUAAUAAUUAGGUCAUAUUUGCAAUAACUUAUUUUUAUAUUUUAAUAUAAGUGUGUAGAAUAAAAUUUAUAUUUAAACUUCAAUUCAUUUAAUUAUAUAAUUAAUGUUAGUAAAGAUGAAUGAGAGUUAAUGUUUUUGGUUUAUUAGAAGAUAAUAGUUGUGAUUAACUUUUAGAUAAUAGACUAGAAUAAUGUCUAAAUUAUGUAUUUAGCAAAUGAUAACAAAAUAAAACACUAUUGUUCAAAUCACAUUAUUUUCUUAAAAAAUAUUUAUUAUUAUUAUUAUUUUGAGUUAGUUUAAAUAUUACAAAUAACCAAUUUUAGAUAAAAAAAAUAAAUAGUUAUUAUAAUGAUUAAAUUAGAGACUAUAAAGAGAAAAAAAUUUGUUGAUUUUUAAAUUAGUUUCUAUUAUUGUUAAAUAGUUUAUAAAUUGAUAUUUAAUUAGCUACCAAUGUUUUUCUACCAAAUUUAGAAUUUAAAUAAUUAGUAAUUAAAAUAUUGGUAGUUAAUUAGAUAUCAAUUUAAAAACAAUUUAACAUUAAUAGAAACUAAUUUUUUUUUUAAUUUCUAAAAUAAUUUAUAAUUUAGUCACUAGUAAUAUAAAUAAAUAAUAUGAAUAUGGGAGAGAUUUUUUUAUCUUACGAAGUAGUCUAACUUGAUAGGAGAGUAUUAAAUUAUGCAAUGUAUGAAAUAAAAUAUUGAGAAAUCGAGUGAUGAAAAUGAAUGAAAGUUCAUGUCAACUAUUUAAGGGUGAGGAUUUAUUUGAACUAAAUGAGUUAUGGUUUGAAAUUGUAAUUAUUAAAUUCUUUGACAUUCUUUGGUAUUGUUUGGUAGGCAGUGAUUGUGUAUAAAUCAAUAAUUUAUUCCAUUAAUUUUAUAUUAGAUUAUAGUAUUUAAUUAAUUUUCAUAAAUGUUAGAUUGUUCCUUUUCAUUAUAUUUGUGAUUAUCUUGUUUUAACAUUAGAGUUUAUCAUAAUAUAAAGAUGAAUCAUAUGCACAGAUGUUGCACAUAUUUGUAAUUACAAUAAAGAAUAUCAAACAAGUACAUUUAAUGGAUAUUUGUAGAUAAUAUACAUAUGCCAUCUUAAUUACUCAUUUGAAUCCAUGAAAUUAUUAAUGAUUUUUAUUUAGGUAUUUUUUUAGUUAAAUCACAAUGACUAAUUUAUGAUUUAUUUAUAGAAAAUUUGUUCAUUAGUAUAAUAGGCUUUCAUCUAGUAUCUUUUUAAAAAUAUUUAUUAAUAUGUAUAGUCUACCUAUGUAUCGUUUUUGUUAACAUAUGAGUUUUGGUAUAGUUUCCGCAUAUUUUUUGUAUUUUUAUAUUUUUUUUAAUAAUAUUUUUUUUCAUGUGAUGAUAAAUGAUUGUUGUUACUUGAGGUGUUAGUCUAGCUGAGAUAUCAAGUAGCAUAGUGAUGUCUAACACGAAAUUUUUUUAUAAAAAAAAUUUAUAUGAAACACGUGAGAGUUUAACUAUGCAUAUAAUUACAAAUUUAAUCCUUUUAGUAAAAUACUUUUACCUUUUAAUUUACCUUAUACCUAUUUUUACUCUUUUGUUGAAUCUACUAUUUUAUUUUCUGUGGUUGAAAUUAGGUAUACGAAUUAGAGAGGUUAAUAUGUAGUAAUUUGAAAAGUGGCAUGUACUAGUUGGUGGUUGUAGGACAAUCUAACACCCCCAUGGACUCACUAGAACCUUCUUUCCUUGGCUUUGAUGAUUGAUUAAAAAAUAAGCAAGAAAAUUUGUCAACAAAACAAACCCAUAUCUAAUCUUUCUAUAAAUAAUAAUAUUCUACAAAAGGAAAACACACCAAAACAAAAUCAAUCCACCCCAAGAAUCUACCACCACCUGUGGUGUGACCCACUCACCACUCCACCAAAUCCCAAACUUUCAAAACAAAAAAUUAAAAAAAAAACAAAAAAAAAACACACAUGAUGUUUCCUAUUACGUGGUCCCCACCCGGAAUCGAAAUCCAAAUUAAAUUUAGUUAAUUGUCGGAAAAGAAAAAUCAGCUAUCUGCAAUAAUGGCCAACGGAUCUCACACGCCAAAAAGGAAAACUCAGAACAACACACAACACAACAUCAGUUUCUAUUUUUUUUUUUACAAUUUAUUUUUUUCACUAAGUAUUUAUUAUAUAUAAUAGAAUCUAUUUCUAUUUAGUGUGGGAAAAAGAAAAAAAAGUGCAGAAUCAUUGGUAUCAACAAAAUUUUCUUGAUAAUUUUUGUAUGAAUAUUAAAAAAAGUUAUGGUUUUGUGUGAAAGAAAAAAGAAGAUAGAGAGAGAAAGAAGAAGUCCGUGAAUGGAGUUGUGAGCGAUAUGCACGCGCCUGUCACUAUCUUGCAUUAGGAAUUAAAGUAGAGAAACCCUAUCUCACUUUUUUUCUCACCCUUAUAUAUAACACCAUUCACCCUUUCUCUUUCUUCCCACCCAACCCUUUCAUCUUUUCUCUCUCUUCACUCUUUUCAACUUUUUCUUCUCUUUUCUUCCUUCCAUGGAGGAUUCCAAGAAGCGAGUUCGUGACGAGUUAGCCACUGACUCGCCCCACUUCAAGAUUCCCCGAGUUCACUCCUCCGAGUCACUCCUUCAACCCGACGUUCACCUGCAGGACCACAUUUUCAACAUACUUGAUGACGCCGACAAUGUCUCCGACCGUGCCACGGUGCAGGGUCUCGACUCAGUCAUCAAGAGCUUCGAAGACGAAAUCAAGGCUCCGGCUUUCGACCCGACCCAGCUACCCGAUUCCGGCGAGUUGCAAAAUAAGCUCGGAUAUUUACUCGAGGCUUCCGACGACGAGCUGGGGUUGCCGCCGACAGAAGCGGCUGCUGAGGAGCCGGGUCGGGUUGACCCGGAACUUGACCCGGAAAUGGCGGAGCUUGCUGCUUUCAAUGGGUUUGAAGACUAUGUUCCGGGCUUUGAUGCAUUUGGGUUCGGUUCUGAAUUCGCGGCGGAGUGUGACGAUGGUGCUGCGGGUUUUGUGACUGUGGAUGGGUUGUUCGAUUAUGCGGAUUCGCCGGCGGAUGUUUUGUGGCGGUCGGAGUCAUUACAGGCUAUGUAAGCGGCGGUGAUGAAGUUUUGUGGUGGGUUAGUGAAACGGUGCUUAGGGGUGGAAAAUGUAAAUCUAGGAAAGUUUGGGGGUACGAAGAGACAAAAAAAAAGUAGCACAGAAAUGUAGGUGUAGAUGUGAAAAGUUGUAGGGCUAAGAUUUGUUUGUUGCUUCAGUUUUUUGGUUGAAUUCAAUUGAAACAAACUGGACUCUUGACGACACCGUUUUUACAUUUGUUUUUUUGCAUAUUUUUUUAUUUAUUUUUGGUUUUAUUUAUGGAACUAAAUAUCUUCUGAGCUGAAGUAAAACGUUUAAUUACUGUAGUAAAAAUACUUUUAAUUAUUGAUUAUUUUAUAAAAUAUCUUUUAUUAAAUUUUUCUAUAUUUUUUAAAUUAUUAAUCGACAAAAACAUUACAUAACUAAAUUUUCAUGGUUGGUAAAGUUCUUUCAUCAUAAUCUCAAACUAAAUAAAAGUAAUUAAACAGAAGUGAUGAAAAAAUUAAUUAAUUCCACAUUUAUUUGCCUUUCUGUCUCACUAGAAAGAAAAAAAAAAGUCCCAUUAAUGGUUAGCGUUACAGCUUAUUUAUUUAUUAAUGGUAGUUACGUAAUAAUAAUAAAUUGAAAACGAUUUUGUUUUUGUAUUAGAAUAGUGAAAGUUUUAUGAUUUGAGAGAAGAUAUUCUUUUCUAGAUUUAUUUGAUAGGUAGAAAAAGCAAUUACUUAGAUCAUUUGAUUGUUUACAAAAAAAAUAAAAAAAAAUAUACAUGAUGGUGUUAUGUUUAGAUAAUAUACAAAAGUAAAAUUUAAAAUUUUAUAACGUAAAGUUUAUACAUUAUAAAAUAUUUUAAUUUUUAUAAUGUAAAGUUUAUAUAUUAUAAAAUAUUUUAAUAUUUACUUCACGUAAAAUUUUCAAUGUAUGUAUUUAUGUGAAGAUCCGCAUGUUAAGAUUUUUUGCUUAAUUUUUUUUAUAUUAGAUUUUAAAAUUCGUGAUAUUUCCUGUAGGAUUAUAUUUUUAAAUUGUAUCAUCAUCUAUAAUACAGUUUAAAAUUAUAUUUUAAAUUAUAUAAUAAUAUUAUAUAUCGAUCCAAAAAUAUUUUAAAUUGAUUGAAUUAUAUUUGAAAAAUAUAAUAUAAGAUGUAAGAGUAAACAAGUUAAAAAUAAUUUAAGAAUUUUUUUACAAUUUCUAAUUUUUAAAGGAGUAAAUAUUGAGUUUUUUUUUCUCAAGUUAAUGUAAUAUUUAGUAUUUGUCUCAAUUUGUUUAUACUAUAUUUUAAAUAUAUUUUCUUAUUAGUUAUUGAGAGUAUUCAAUUUUUGAAGACCAAAAAAUAUGUGUUGCAAAAAAAGUUAGUUAGAUAGAAUCAAUAUCCGUUGCGAGAAUUCUUAUCCACCCAUGGCGUUCACCGUGCCCAUUGGGAGUGGCGCGGCGAUAAUCCCCUGCGGCAACACUGCCGCAACCACUCGCUACACCCGUCUCCUUUCUUCGUCUAAUCGAACGCCAAGAAAUCACCUCCAUGUGGCGUGCUCGAAGAAGUUCUCCUCCGAUUCGCAACCUUUCAGCGCCGUAACAGAACCGCAAGCCACGGCGGAGAUCGGAGACGAAGAGCCCAUGGACGAGGAGUUUGCUGCCCUUUACAGUAAGGUGAAUGGCAUUCUCGAGGAAGAAGCGGACUUUUGGGAAGGACCGCAGUGGGACUUGCUCGGCUUCUUCGUCAAGUAUUCCUGGAUUAUUGGCUUCGGUGUCGCGGUAUAACCAAUCACUCUAUUCUCCUUAGUUUCUUCUUUAUUAAAAAAGUGUAUUAUUCAUAAGUGACCGUAAAUUUCAUCGAUGGAUUUUAUAAAUUUGAUUUAAAUUUAAAAUUUAUUUCUAAUCAUUUUGAGGCGAGUCAUUUUGAAUUAUUUUGAUCUUAUGUUAGUGAUUGUUUUGUUAGACAUGUAUUAAGUCAUCUGUUAUUGAGUCAUUGGGUUGUUAUCAAAUGAGUAUAAUAUAUAUCCUAUGGAUGAGUUAGUAGUCUCAAUGUGAGGAAUGUGAGGAGUAGGUUGAAAAUCCUAUAUUAAACUAUAAAUUAAAAUAUUUUAAAUAAGUGGAUACAAGUUUGUAAGUUGAAUUAGAAUUAAAUUUAAUUCUUACUAUUCAUCUUUUUCCUGAAAUUUAUGUCUCUUCUACUUGAAAUUACAGUUCAGUGUUUAACAUAAUCGUAUAAAGUUUAAAGGAUAGCAUGGUUGUGGAGAUUGCAAAUGCGUUAUGUACUUCUGGAACAAGACUUCAAUCUUAAUUUUAAAUUAAUUUAAUUAUGUUUAUUUUAAAAGAAAAAAAUAUUAGAAUGAACUAUAUAUAAGUUGAUUUUGUAUAAACUCUUUCCAAUAAAUAACUUACUUUAGAUUUUAAUUUUUAACCUUUAUCUUUAAACUCAUAAAAUAGUGCUCGUCUUAGUCUCUUGUGUUUAAAUCUGUUGGACUAAGAGAUUUAAGAUUAAAAGAAAGUUAAAAAAUUACAGGUUAAGGUGAGUAGUUGCUAGCUACAGGGAUUAAAGCCUAGAAAUGAUAUAGGUAUAGAGAUCAAAUGAGUAAUUAGAUUUUUAAUUUUUAAAAGAAUGGUGUUUUUUACACUAGCUUUUGUUGCAUCACUGGGUGUUUCUCAUGAAUUGUUCUUCGUUAAGUUCUUAAAUAUAUAACUCUUUUUCUUAGUUUAAAGACAUGUGUGUUUGAUUCAAGAGGAAAGAACUAGGGUCUUGCUUUGGUUAUUUUGGACAAACUCAAGUUUCGAGUUAAACACUAUCUCUUAUAUUGAGAUUUAAGAGAUUUAUCUCUUCUUACAAUUUAGCAUUAGAGUUGAUCCUCAAGUUAAUACCCUCUUAGCCCUUGAUAUUGUUGUGGUCACGGGUCUAUCUAUAAGAAGAAAUUGAUUAGGGAGCAUUUAGUUAUAGAUGUUUUAUUCAAUGGAAAACACAGUUUAAUAGUAGAAUACUAUUAUUUAGCGAAUUCUAUAUCUGAAAGAACUCUCGACCACUUAUUAUUUAGUUGGAACUGGAACAAUCCAUAACUGGCUGAAGUUGCAGAUGCUUUUGACUAUGUGUUUUGUUUUUUAAUUUAGAAUUUUAGAGAAUGAUGCUAUUCUUUCAUAGAAAUGGGUAGUGUAAACAUUCAAUGUCUAUGAUGGUUCAAUCAAGGUUUUAAAUUGUAACAUUAAACAACAUCAUGACAAUAAUCAUGUCUAUUAAUUUGCUUGAAAUGGAUAUCUUUACUGAAUCUUUGGAUGUGCUUAUGUUCACUGUCAUUACAGGUAUGUGUUAGUCUAUAUGGUUGUCUUACAUAUCAACAACCAUCAAAAGAAGUGAUGGAUGAGAUUGAAAGAAAGUAUGGAGUGAGGUCUGGUGUGGAGUCCAGUGUGGAGUCCAGUGGAGACUCCAGUGCAAAAUCCAGUGCAGAGUCCAAUGAUGUUUUUGAAGACCUUGAUUCAUAUGACUCUGAUGUAUUUGAUUCCAAUCCAACAGAAGUGGCUCCUAGUUUGAAUUAGAGUCUUCAUAGACACUGGAUAUGUGCCUUAUUUUUGGCAUAUCAAUGCAGAGAAAUGAAUUCAAACUUUUUCUGAGCUAAAUUUGUAAGGCAAUGCUUCUACUUAUAUGUACACCUUUUAUAAUGUAUUACUUCUCCGAUAGAUUAAAUGAAGUGAGUUAAUUAUACAUGGACAUGCAUGGUUAGUAGUAGGAGGAUUUCAUGUGAUUGCUCAGGUAUCAUUGUUGACAAUCUUUAGUCUAUGUUGCAUACCAAAACCAUUAAAAUGAAAAUAAUAUAUCGCUUUAGACUAUAAUACAUUUGGAUUAUAAUUCAUGAAAUGUAAAAAUUAAUACUCAAUAUUUAGUUUAAUGGGUAAGAUAGAAGGUAAAAGUUUUAUAAUCUAAUUAUAAUUUUUCAUAAACUAUCUAAAAAUUCUUCCAAUCAGAAUUACAUGAUAAAUUUAGUAUAUAAAUAAUUUACUAUACUUCACCCACUAAAAUUAUUACAUCAUUUAUGUCACUAAAAUAAAAACUAAUAUUGCUAGAGUAGUAACAUCCAGUUUUAUUGUGUUUAAGUUAGUGGCUUCACUACUUCGAAACCCAAAUCCCAUGACAGGUGUUGGUGGAACAGAAAAUGCCGGAGAAGCUACAAAUUCAGAAGAGCAAGAUCAUUACAAAUAGGAAGCAAUUUACAGGACAUCAACAAAGGAAAUUAUGACAAUAAUCGGUUUAAUUACUUGAAGAGAAAUGGUUAAAUAAAAAUACAAGAAAAUAUGAGAUUUAUAAAAAAAAAGUGUUGCUUACCAAUAACAGUGGAAUUGUUCGUUGUGUCUAAGGAAACCUGAGAAUGAGGAGCAGUUGCAGGCCUAUGCACUUGUUUCACUGAGUUAAAGAAAUGAAGGAAAAAUCAAUUCAAUGCAUAAUAACAUACAAUUAUUUAUACAAAUUGAUAAUAUAUGAUUUUAGAUCAAAUGUGACUAUUUAUGCAACCUAAACAGGCAGAGUUAUUGGUAUUAAGUUGAAGCAUGCAAAGAGCUGGUAACUGCAGAGCAAGUGUUCUGUUGAUAGGGAGAGAACUGAAGUUAGUGCCAUUGAACAAGAGGCAAAGACAAUGUGGCUCUUGGCUGUAGAUCUGCUUGAGGUUGUCACAGCAUUGUGCCACUGGAGAAGGGGAAGUACCCUGCACAAAUGGUGUGCAAGGAAUGAGAAAAAUUAGGCUUGGUGUGCAUUGGGCUAUGGUGGGGCUUGAAGGGCUAGAGUCUUGUGAAAGUAUGUUGGGAAGAUUGGAAAUAAACAGCAAGAGAAUAAUCUGAUACAGAUUGAGGGCAAGAUAGAAACUAUCCAGAGAAACCAUAUUGUUAUGCAUUUUAGUGUUGGUGGAAGGUGUCUAAAUAGGUAUAUGAUCAGUUUUCUGUGUGAGUUGUUCCAUACAUUAUGUGUGAGUUCCAUCUAACAUGUAUUGCUUGUUUCUUCAUGUGAUAAACUAACUUGUUUAAAAGCUUAAAAUGUAAGGCAAAGUUACAACAGUUUAAUUUUCCUGAAUCUAAAACUUUUUAUAUUAUCAAUCAAUUAAAAACUGUACAUGUAACUUUUAAAAUUAUUGUUGGAGAUCCCACGUCGACUAGAGAUUAGAGCCUUUCAUUGUAUAUAAGUGGGUGCAAACCUCACCCCAUUGAGCCGGUUUUAGACUUAAAGUCGUAAUAAUUAUUAAAAGAAGUCAAUAAUCUCUCACUGUAAAGUUUUCUCAACUUUAAUUAUAAGAUGUUUUGUUGAAUACUAAUAAACCAAAAACCAGUACUAAUGUGCACAACAAUCUUUAUCCUAUCCCUGCCUUUCCUUUCUUUUCUUUUUCCUUUUUAUUUACUUCCUAUGCAUAAUUAGCAUGGUAUACUUCCAUGAUAAAAUUGUUUUAAUUGUUAUUUUUAAAGGAAAAAUAUAAGAACAUAACUGUCAAAUCUGAAACAGAAGUCAAGUGAGGAACCAGUUUACAGGUCUCUACAAAACAUAUAAUUUAAAAAACACAAAAAUAGAGUUGACCAAAACCUGGCAAGAUAGAUAUUCAUUUGCUCUAUAUAAAUGUGAAAUGCUUGACAAUAAAAAUAAAACAUAUUUUACAUGUUAAAUAAUGAUAAGUUCAACUAGCACAAGCACAGGAAGUAAGUAUGUUUUCCUUUGUUUAUGUAGUGGCAUGCACAAAACGGCAACAAAGAAGUCAGGAAUAAUGUGACAAACUAAGCUACAACUGUGCUACAUUAGCCUCCCUUUGCCUAGCUAGUCACAGAAAGAAUCAGAUUCAGAAAUUAAAAGGAGCAUCAGUGUCAAGGAAAAUGCUAACCAGCUCAUUAUAAACACUUUUUGACUCUCAAAGUUUGUUGUUGCAUGCCUUUUAAGAAUCCUUUUUCUUUUGCUAGCUCAUUCAUACUAUUUGGAUUUUUCAAAUUCCAGUUCUAAGUGUCUCUCUAUCUCUUCCUAAUUGCCAAUUGAUCGGUUUCAUGACAGUGAAGGCAAGCACUGAUCACCAUCUUUUGGUUACCUCAAUAGUUCUGAAGCCAUAAAUGCUUAAAAUACCAUCUGAAUCAUUUUUGUUUCCUUUGGGUUUGCAGUACUUCUGCAUGGUGAAGAGGAUCAAUAUUGAUUGUAAUGGAUGUUACAGAAAAGUCAAGAGAGCCAUUCUUGAUAUGCCAGGUUAGAUCAUGUUUGGAUUUCAGUAGAGACAGUAACAUAUAUAACAUUUUUCUUGUUGAAAAAAUUGUAUUGAAAUUUCACAAAAAUGCUUUUCUAACUUUUAUCCAAAAAGUAUAUCUUUAGACAUCAUUGAUCACUCUUAAUUUCAUGGUAAUAGCUUCUUAAACUGUAGAUUCUCUUUAUUUCUGACUGUGCUAGAGUUGGAUAGUCAUCUCCUUGAGAAGCAGCAGACAAACGUAGUGGUAUGUGGCAGGUUCAUCCCCCAAGAUGUGGCAAUCAAGAUAAAGAAGAAAACUAAUCGCAGAGUUGAGAUUCUAGACAUACAAGACUUGAGCGACAGCAAUGAAGAGGAAGACCAGAAACCAAUGACCAAUAAUUGGACCACCCAGAAUCAGAUAGAAACAUGUCUGGUUUGACAGAACCAGAGAAUAUACAUACAUAUGUAUUCAACUUGUGAAGUCAAUAGUUUGGGUGUGUUUAUAAUUUGUUGGGAAGAAGUUAUUUAGCUGGUAGCUUUUGAAUUAGCUAGGUUGCUACUGCAUAUGAACCUUAUGUUAAUGGCAAAUCAAAAGAAAGAAAUAAAAAGUUGCUUCAUUUGAAAAUUCAAAACACACAACUGAAGCACCCUUACAACAGGGUAGGUUUUACAUAUGCAUCAGCAUAACAUUUAUGCCUUCUUUCCCUUGCAUGCAUGCACCUUUUAUUCCUCUUCCAUACUCUAUAAUAACCAUAUACAACAUCCACCACAAUUACACGACAUGUAUGUGUACGUAUAUAUGCAGCAAACUUAUUAAAAACACAACAAGAUCAUAUGUUUUACUAUAUAUGUUGCAUGCAUGCACACACACGAUGUCUCUACUUGUUGUCACUGUGUACUCCUGGAAUCUUCUCUUUAAUCUUGUCCAUUAUCCCUUUCUUCUCCUCAUUUCCAUGCUCCCUCCCAUACCCAGCUCCAGUUCCACUUCCAUAACCACCACCAGUUCCACUUCUAGGACCAGUGCCUGUGUCAGCGGUGUUGUCUCCAACGUAAGGACCACCACCGACAGCAGUGUCACCAGCAAAGCCACCGGUAGUCCCAUGCUGUCUCCCGGUGUCACCAGUUAAACCACCGGUAGUCCCAUGUUGUCUCCCGGUGUCACCAGUAAAACCACCGGUAGUCUUAUGAUUUCUCCCGGUGUCACCAGUAAAACCACCGGUAGUCCCAUGCUGUCUCCCGGUGUCACCAGUAAAACCACCGGUAGUCCCAUGCUGUCUCCCGGUGUCACCAGUGAAACCACCGGUAGUCCCAUGCUCUCUCCCGGUGUCACCAGUAAAACCACCGGUAGUUCCAUGCUGUCUACCGGUGUCACCAGUAAAACCACCGGUAGUUCCAUGCUGUCUACCGGUGUCACCAGUAAAACCACCGGUAGUUCCAUGCUGUCUAGCGGUGUUUACACCGUAAAGAUUACUGGUAUUACUGGUAUCAUGUUGCUUGUUAGUAUCAUCAGUAACACGACCGGUUCCAGUGGUGGCUAUAUAGGUGACACUAGUAGAAUGAACCGGGUUGCCAAACUCAUCAGUUGUCUUGACAACGUUGCCAUACUCGUCGAUCUUGCGACCCUGUUCAUCCUCGUACUGCUUCUGAUAACUUGCCAUGAUUUUUCUUGUUGUUGUUGUGAUAGGUUUAUGUGUUUAUAAGAGGUUUUGUGUUUGUCUGAAGAUGCUGUUGAUGAUGAAGAGAAGCAUGCAAGCAUGGGGUUUUAUACGACAAACCAAGCAUGAAAAUCUGGUCAAGGCUCUUGAAAGCAUGACACGUGCCAUGUGGAUUUCACGAAGCAACUGCCACGUGCAUGGACACGUGUUGGUGUGUUUUUCAAGUGAAAGUUGCGUUGUCGUUUUGAGGAAUGACACGUGCGGGCUCUACUUGGUGGAUCGGUGGAAGAGGCCCAAAUGGAUAAGGCCCAAGUGAAAGGUAUGAAGAACGUGACACCUGUGACAAUUCGAUAAAGAUACCACAAUCCAAAAUUAGCCACGGAAAAUUUAUGAUUAAACUUUUCUUGAAUUUUAGGGUUUAGAAUUUUAAAUUUAAAAAUAAAUAAAAAAUAAAUAAAAUAUUAAUUUAUUGAAAUGUAAGACACUAUCCUAUUAAUUAUCAUAAAAAACCCUCCAUUAAUUAGAUAUGUCUUAAAUUUUUAAAUACUUUUUAAAAAGAAAAAUAAAAAAGUGAAAUUAACUUAAAAUUUGUCUAUACACACAUUAAAAAUAAAACUUUGUAUACCAUAACCUUUCAACCAAAAAUCUACAUUUAAACGUUUUAAAUUUUCGAUACUGAUUUGCAUAUAACUUAUUUUUAAUAUAUUUAUUUUAAAAUUUAAUAGUAAUAUUAUAUAUAAUAAUUUGUGAUUACAAAAUAUAGGUAAAACGUUUUAUGCUAUAAUUUUUUUCUCCUAUAAUACUUAAUAAUGAUUCAUGAAUUACAUUUAUAUAUUGGUGUGAUUAUCACACCUAUAUGUUAGAUACAGUUAGAUCAUUUCUCUUAGUUAUUGUUUGAUAUUUAGAUUCCAUUUUAUCACAAUUUUAUUAUGAAAAUAUAUAAUGAUGAUUUUAGGAAGAAAAAUGCAUAUAAAAAUUUUUCUAGUUGUGAUUAAUGUAAAACUUUUAGGUAUGAACAACCUCCCUAAUCAAUGUGAAGGAGUUCGAAAAAUCUAGCCACCCAUACUUACUACAUUAAUAUUUUGAACAUUACAACUUUCAUAAACCUAAUUAGAAUCACCCAUAUUCUUCUAUUUAGAUUUAUAAUACAAGUUUAUCUUAAAAAUGAAAUUUCAUAAUAAAUUAAAUAGAGAGAGUUUCGACUUUAAUUAUAUAAAAUUAUAAGUAUAUAUAUAAAAAAAUCUCCUAAUUGAAAUUUAGAAAUUAAAGAAAUAAAUUUCAAGUUUAAAAUUAAAUGAUGUUUAUAUCCAUUUACAUAUCAUCAAUUAAUUUUACCUUAAUCGGUGAAAUAUUUAAUAUGACUCAAUUUUAUUGUAAAUUUAUUAAAAAAAAUCAAAAUUGAAAAGUAUGAAUAUUUAUAGUCAUUUAUCUUAAGAAUUAAAUUUUAAAAUUACACUAAUUUUAUUUUGUCUUUCCCACACAAGUAUUAACUCUUUUAUUAGAUGUGGAAAUAUAUAUGUUAUUGUGGAAAUAUUUUAUUUACAGUGGAUCUUCAACGUGGAUUGUGAAAUGUUUAACAAUAUUUGUGUUUGAAGAAUCAAGUUUUGAUUUUAUUUUAGAAAACAAUAAAACAUUUUUUAUAAAAUAAAUUAAUCAAAACACUUUAUCAAAAUUGGAGUUCGUCUUGUUUCCUACGCGAUGAUAAAACAAAAGCACUUAACCAGCAAAAUAAAAUGAUUUUUUUGGGUCAACGAAUUAGAAUUAAGAGAAUGAAUGGUUUUGAAUUGCAAAAACUUGAUAUAAUAUUAUAUAUCAUGUCCAACUAUUUUUUAUAGAAAAAAGUCAGUAAUAUAAAAAAUUGAAGAAGAAAAAAAAACACAAUUCCUUUAAUAGAAUGCUUAAAAUGUCAAUGUAUAAAAUACUAAAAGUCAUAAGAACAUUUUAAACAAAAUUCUUAUUUUAAAUUCAUAAAAAGUCCACCAGUAAAAUAGAUGAUGAAGAUUUCAAUAAAUAGUUAUAAAUAUUUGUUCUCCCUUAUAUUUUUAUAUUUAAAUUAUUCAUAAAUGAGUUGAAUAAUUUAUUCAAGAGUGAAAGCUUAUUCAGUAAUAUUUUUAUUUAUUUAUAAGGAGUUAAAUUUAAUACACAACUGAAAGAGAAAAUUAAAUACAUUGUUAUUUUCACAUAAAUAUUACUUGAUCAUCUCUUCAAUUACUGAAAAACAAAAUGCCAAUUUUUUUCUAAAAUAUAAAUAUCUACUAUUUAAUGUAUGAUGAGCUAUAGGGAAACUUUAUAACAAAAAAUUAAUUAUAUUAUUUCCUAGGAAUUUCAGCUGGUAUACUAGAUUAAAUAUUAAUCUCGAUUAUUAAUUCCUUGAAAUUUCACACUAAUUUUUUAUCAAAUGAGUUCUUUCCACUACGAUUAUUAUUUCUCGAACGUGCGAGCUUUUGAAAUUUAAUCAUAUAUCUAUGUAUCAAGUUAAACCUAAAUUAUAUAUACAUGUUAACGAACAAUUAAUCACACAAAUUAAGUAAAACUAUUUAUAUUUUAAUCUCUUAACAGCGUGUUAAAAAUUUAAUAAAACUAAUUAAUAAUAUUAUGCUUUAUUAUCUGAAAAUAGCAUAUAAAUAGAAUUUUUUUUAACAUAUUUUCCUUGCAUAAAUCAAAUGUGUUUUUUUUUAUUGGAAACGUAUUAUUUAAUCUUUAAAUAUUAAAAUAACUACAAUUUUUAUGAUUUCAACUCAAAAUCUUUUAUUAAACUAUAUCAAUCAAAUUUUUAUGAUUUCAACUAACAUUUAAUUUAUUAAAAACUUGAAAGCUUUAAUAUUUGAAGAGUCGAAUUCGUGGGACAAGUCUUUUAAAUAAAAGCUUCCAAAAGACAAGUCAAACUCUGGUGGAGAGAAAUUCGAGGAAUUAAAAUCAAAGAACUUUAGUUAGUGUGUGAGUAGAAUGAUGAAUGAGUGAAUUGAAACACGUGCGUAAUUCAGAAGAUGAGAGAGUGUCUUUUGAACUUUGAAAAAACAUGAUUUUAAUAAUAUCUUACUGUUAAAUUUGUUUAUCUUUUACUAUGUUAUUAUAUUUGACUAAGGUAUUUUAUUUAAACAUUAGUAUAAUGUAAUGAUUGAUAUUCAAUUUAUUAGCAUUUAAAUUGAGUUGGAUGUAUAUGUAUGAAGGAGUUUUGUAACAAAAAGGGUUUUUAUCUUGUAUUAGAUUAUGUAAUGUGUGGUUGAUUUGUUUUAUAGAAAAAAAAGAUGAGAAAGUUUUCAUGUUAUUGACAUUUGAAUUAAAUUUGAAAUGCAUGAAUACCUUGUAUAUUAUAUGAAGUAUGAUGUAGAUAUAAUUAUUAAUAGGAAAUGAAAUACUAUGUUGAUAUAUAUAGUAUAUAUAUUGAAUUCAAGAUUCAUAUUAAGGAGAUAUCUUCACUCUACUAAUAUAUUAGAAUCAAAUAGAGGAAGAUUAUUAGGUGGUGAGAGUUGAAAGAGGUUCCCAUGAAUGAGUUUGUGGUCUGAAAAAAUAGCCUAUUUGACAGGUCACAUGAAUUUACCUUGUUAUAUGAAAGAACUUGGUUCCUAUUAAUGUAGUUAUGUUGGAGAUACAAUAUUGUGAAGAUACUAUGUAUGAUGCAUAUCUCUCAGUCAAAUUCAUCGCAUAUGUCUUUCAGAAGUAAAGUCAUGUACUGGUCAGACCUCAGACAUUGGCUGAAGAAAUCGGCAUCAGACGUGACCUCGGAUCUCGGCGGUCCAGUCACAUUAAUGGGCCACGUAGGUGGGCCCCAAAGAUAAUAAAGAGUUAUUAUCUAUACGAGAGAGGGACCUAAGUCACGAGAGGAUUCAUGCAUGUGGUGUGUAUAGCACGUACAAGUCUAGCACAAGUAAAUAAUCCUUGGAGGCGCUAAGACCCGUUAGGGUUAGGGUUUCCAAGGAUAGAUUGCAUGCAUGACACGUGAAUACUCAGGGCAUCCAUAGAACAUAUGACUUUGUAGCGCUGGUACAUGAGUUGGUACCCUGACGCCCAUCCUGUUAGAGAUUUUGCACUCCAGAAGAGGCAAGUCUUGUGUCGCGGCUGCGCUAAGCUAGUGCAACGCGUCAUAGGAUGCCUCACCAGUAACCCUAAUUUCAUUAAAGGAAAGAUCCUCGUGGGACAAAGAGUUGACCUAGAUACAACCUAUAUAAAGGGUGGUAAGAACCCUAGAAAAGGUACACCAUUUUUAAGAAUGAAACUGCUUUACAUACUUUACUGUUUCUUAGCCCAGUACUGACUUGAUAAUCGGAGUGCAAUCAACAGGUAGGGUCCCCUAUGUUUCAACGGAGCCACUCUCAACCACCCAAGAAGAGAGCUGAAACCACCAGAAAAUAGGAGGAGCCACCAUCUGCCUUUGGAGUCAACGACAACCGAGUCAACCGGCGAGAACAAGUCAAAUGUUUUGUAAUGUAUUUCAGACAUAGACUAUAGAUGUUAUGAAAAACACUUGACUCUAUAGUAUGUAUAAAUUAUUGAGAAUGGAAGUUUAAGAUAUAUUUAUUAGCGUGUAAUAAAAGUAUUGACAUGAAUGUUUUUUAAAAUUCUAACUUAUUCUUAUUUGUGUGUAUUUAUCGAUUAUGAUAAUAGUGUGUUACACAAAAAGUAGUAGAUGUUCCAUAUGAAAAAGUAGAAUAAUAGAUAAACAUAUUUUAAUUGUUUAUUAUAUAUAUAUAUAUAUAUAUAUAUAUAUAUAUAUAUAUUACUCAAUAAAGAAAACAUUAAUGAUUAUAUUUUAUCAUAAAUAAUUAAGACUAAAAACACACGGUUAAGUAUAACUUUUAAAAGGUGUAGUUUUAAUUAAUUAUAGCUUAUUAAAGCUUGUAAUUAUUUCUAUAUAAUUAUGUAGCUCAUAUUACUCCCUUAUAAGAAAGUGUAUGUCACUUUAUACAUAUACACACUUACAUAUAAAAACCCAUACAUAUAUACCCAAUAAGGGAGUCUCUAUCCCAUCAUUCAAUUUUUUUCAAUAAAUUUGAUGAUUAAAAUUAGUUAUCCAUUAAAAUAAUUAAAAUUCUUGGACAAAAUCAUUAAGGAUAUGUCUCCUCUCUCUAUGCAGAAUUUACAUUCGUAUUUAUUCCUUUUUAGUUGGAUAUAAUAACUAAAAGGUGAAUAAGUUGUUAUAAUUAUUAAAUGAAAGAAAACGAAAAUAUUAGAAGAAAUAUCUUUUAAAAUUAUAUAUUAUAUCAAAAUAUAAUUAAAAAAAGUAUUAUAGUUCAUUGUCGGCAAGUCGUAAUCCUAGUACUUCAGUGCAUGUAAAUGAUGAAAAUAAAAAAAUAAUCAAGUAAAUUUUAUUUAUAAUUUACAACAUAAUCAUAAUAAUCAUAAUAAUAAUCAUAAUUUGUAAGAAGUUUUUAUAAUUGUUAUUAUUAUUAUUUAUUAAUUGUUUUUAAUAUAUAUUAAUGUGAGUGAUUGUUCAUUAUUAGACGUAUAAAUUCAUUGAUUUAAAAAAUGUUUAUAUGGUAUUCAGAAUAGUUUAUUUCAUUAGGGUUAUGGAACGUAACAGUAGAUUUUUCUUAAAGAAUUUGCUAAAAAAGGAGUAAUAUUAGAAAAAUAGAAAGUUUAUAAUAAAAGUAAUAAGAAAACAUAUAUCAACCCUGUAAAAAUUUUAAAUUACAGAAGAAGAUAAUAUUGCAAUGGAGGGGAAAAUAGGUAAUGAGAAUUAAUGCUUUCAAAGAAAAACAGCUUCAUAAAAGGAAUUGAUGUUAGAACACUAAAGCAAUUUUAAUUAGUAUGUUAAAGAAGUCAACUAUUUGAUUUUAAAGUUCAUAUUCAGAAGUCAAAAGCAUUUUUUUUCCAUAUUUUAAAAAUCUCAAAAGAAGUAAUGAUUUAAAUAUGUUUUAUUUUUUUUAUAAUAACAUAUUAUUUUACAAUUAAUCACAUAUUUUUCUAUAAUUAAUCAUCGUCACAACCUAAAAUAAUUUUUACCAGUUUUACAUGUAAAAUUAGAACUUGUUUUUGUUCUAAACAAUAAAAAUUAUUACCGAAAUAAAUUAUAUUUCACAUAAUAAUAUUUAUUCAUAGAACAUUAUUAUUUUAAAAUAAAACAUAAUUAUUUUAAUUUAAAAUAAAAAUAUAAAAAUAUAAUUGUACUAUUAUUCAUAGAGUUUGGUAGGAAGUUUAGUUUGGAAAGUGGUGCAGCAGACCCACUCUGAAAUACUAUGAUUUUGAGAUAAUUAGUUAAUGUGCUGUUUGACUUUUACUAGAUAAUAAAUUAGUGUAAGGUUAAACCUCAAAAUGUUACUGAAAUAUAUUUAUAAAAAAAUCAUAUAUUUAAUAAUAAAACAUUUUAAUAUUGAAUGAACAUACUUAUUUAAAUAUUUAAAAUACACAAUUUAUAAUAUUAAAUGCUACAUUAAUAUUUAUGAUAUACAUAUACAUAUAUUUGUAAAAGGAGGUUUUAACAUAUCAUAACCGAAACAUUUAAAAUAGUUCUUAAUCAUUAAAUACUUAACAUUAAUAAAAAAUAAAUAUUAUUUUUAUAUUUACUUAAAUUAACCUAAACUUUACUAAAGUUAUUAAAUGUAGUCAAAUUUACAUAAAAAAAAAAUUAAGUACUUUAGAUUAAUAAACUAUUAAACUUUAUAUAUAUAUAUUUAUUUAUUGUAUCUAUAAAAAAUAAUUAAAAAAUAUCAAAAUGUACUUUAAUAUUAGUUCAAUUCCAUAAAAUCAUAUAAUAAGAUGAAGUUUGCAUUCACAUCGUUUAUACUCGAUAUUAGAUCUCCAACAUAUUUAUUAAAAAAUAAAAAAAUUAUUUAUUGUAUUAAAUUUUAUAAAUUAUUUAUUGUAUUAAAUUUGAUUUAUUAGAGAAUAAUGUAUCUCAUUAUAUAAUGCAAUAUAAGACUCAUGUAGACAUAUAUACAUGUAGUCACGUUGUAUCCAUGAUGACUCUUCAUUGGCACGAACCAACACUACAUAAGUUAACUUCCGCAGCAUUCUCUCACCGCCACGUUUCCAAAGCACUUUUUCACCUUUCUAUCAUCUCCAAAAUCGCGUUCGCUUUUACUUAAUCUUCUCAGAAUCUCGUUUCCUUUCAUUCGCCGGCGAUGAUGAGUUCGGCGGCGAGGAUGCCCAAGCUGGGCUCCUUCCGUCACAGCUUCGCCGAGAAGAAGGAGAGGCUACUCUCCAUGAAGGGCGGGGGUUACUCCCAAAUUGGGAUCGCGCUGCCGGAGUCCGACGAGGAGGACAACUGGCCGCCCAGGCGAUGCUGCUCCUACCGCGCUGUCUCCGACGGGAUCGUCGGCACGUGGAAGAGCGCGAAGCGCGUGGCGGCGAGAGCGUGGGAGAUGGGGAUGUCUGAUCCCAGGAAGAUCAUAUUCUCCGCCAAAAUGGGACUCGCUCUCAUUCUCCUUACGCUUCUGAUUUUCCUUAAAAAGCCCUUUGAGGACAUUAGUCGAUACUCCGUUUGGGCCAUUCUCACCGUCGUUGUGGUCUUCGAAUUCAGCAUAGGUAUCAACCUUCAAUCUACUCUCCUUUUUCCACUGCAUAGAAUUCUUUCCAAUUCGAAUCUGUGAAAAAUGUUAUCGGACAAAGUUUUUUGUCCGAUUAUGUCAAUAUUUGAAUUUGAAAUCAAAACCACCACAUGGAUUUUUUUGUUAACGUUUUAGGAUGUAAAUUCAAAUUUGAUAUUACUAAUUAAUCUUGUGUUUUUAAUUCACACUGCUCACUUAAAGUCGAGAUUCUAGCUGACCCCACGAAAAUUGGUUCAUUUGUUUUCUUUUUAUAUUCAAAUUCAAAUUUUGAUUUUUAAAUAGAAAUUAUUAGGGUUUGUUUGGAUUGAGUCUCUUUUUGGAUUUAUUAUGUAGUUACAGUGUUGAAUACACUAUUAUUUAUAGUGUCUUGUGGGAUUUAGCCAAGAGUAUUUCUCCUUAGAAUACACAAAAAUAAAAAUUACAUUUCCUCACCUAAAUUAUCGUGGAGUUUUUACUGUAAAUAUAUUUUGGAUUUCAGCUUGCUAAGAUUAGAUUAGCAAAUAUUGAAAUUAUAGUAAAUUUAAAGUUGAAUAUAUCUGUACCAAAAAGAAGGUUGAAUAAUAAGUACUAUAUACAUAAAUACACUGUGGAUGCCUGAGUCUGUUUUCUAAUUGAGGGUUGGUGUAGAAAACUUUUGUAUUGUUAUAUAUCUGAAUUAAAUUCUUAUCAUUAUAUAUACUCAUGAUGUUCGUCACAAUCAUAGUGUUAUUUUUGAACAUGUAAAAAGUACACCUCUUUCCUUGUACUUUUUUUCUUUCCAGACAGACACUUAUUAUUAUGGUGUCUAGAAUUGCACGUGAGUGGUAUAAUUGGCACGAACUUAUUCCUUUUAAAGUAACACACAAAAUUGGAACUUGCUAUUAAGAACCAAACUGAUCUCUCUCUUUCUUUUGUUUUUAAUUAUAGGACCUAAUUAAUUUAAUGUGUUUUCUGUGACCAAGUUAUUGUCAUUUGUAUAAGCUAUGGAUUAAAAAAAGGGUUUUGCUAUUUUUAUUUUCUUUUUCGUUUUUGGCGUUUUAAUUCCUCUUCCUCAAGGGAAUUUGGCGAAGAAUAUGCCUGGAUCAGUGCGUAAAAGCCUUAAACCUUUGAUUGUGGUAGAGUGAUACGUUGGUUCUGUUAAUUUAGUUAGUUUGUCCAGGAAACUAGUGCUAACUAAUCUAAGGAAAAAUACUUGUUGACCAGUGUCUUGAGGGCAGUGGGAAAAUUCAAUUUUUUUUGUUAAAUAUUAUUUUGAGUUUUUAAAGUAAUAUUGUUUUCUUUAUUAAAAAUAUAUUUUACUUUUGUUUCCUUAAAGAUUUCUUAAGGAUACUCGGUAGAAUUCUCCUAUUUAAUUUAUGAGCAUAGGCAAAUGCCAUUCUAAUUUUAAUCAGAGAAAAAAAUCAUAUAAUUUUCCCUAGUUUCUUCUGUCUUGUAAUGAAUGAAAUCAUAGACUAUAAUUUUUUCUGCUGCAUGUUCCAAAGGCUCUACUUAUUUAAUUCCACUGUAUUCACGCACUUCAUCUUUUAUUAAAUCCAAUAUUUUGAUCAUAAAUCAUUUGCUGAAGUAAAACAUUUAUUUGUAAAUUCUAAUUUCAGUUACAAGCAAUAAUUUGUGACAAUGUACUCCUGCAGGGGCAACUCUUAGCAAAGGGCUUAACAGAGGAUUGGGAACUUUGUUAGCUGGAGGUCUAGCUUUGGGAAUGGGAAUUUUAUCACAAUUGGCUGGAAAAUGGGAAGAGCUCAUCAUAACUGUUAGCAUCUUCACUGUAGGUCAGGAACUUGAAUGACUUCUAUUUCUUAUCAUGUUGAUAAAGAUUCAUCAGAUUUUUUCUUUUUUUGAGUGUGCCUUUUUCUCUGACAUUGUUAUUGUGUAUGAAUGUCAGGAUUUUGUGCCACAUAUGCAAAACAAUAUCCAACAAUGAAGGCUUAUGAAUAUGGUUUCCGUGUGUUCUUGAUCACCUACUGCUACAUUAUUGUAUCAGGGUAUCGAACAGGAGAGUUUGUUCAAACAGCUAUAAAUAGAUUUUUGCUCAUUGCCCUUGGUGCUGCUGUGGCACUCGGGAUAAAUGUAUGUAUAUAUCCAAUAUGGGCUGGUGAGGAUCUGCAUAAUCUUGUGGCAAAAAAUUUCACGGGCGUUGCUGCAUCAUUGGAAGGUUGUCUUAGUUUGUGGAAUUGUAAUAAAGUAACAAGUAAUAUUUUAGUGUGGCUUCGUAAUCUCAUUUCUUGGGUUGAAUAACGUUGUUUGGUUUCUUUUUCAGGUGUUUUAAAUAACUAUCUUAAUUGUGUUGAAUACGAGAGAGUGCCUUCAAAAAUUCUUACAUACCAAGCUGCAGAGGAUGUGGUUUACAAAGGCUACAGAUCAGCUGUUGAAUCUACAAGCACAGAGGAUGCAUUGGUAUCUUGUCUUUUUGUUGUCCGUUUCACUUUCACAACAAAAUAUUGAUAAUCUUUUUGACUCAUUAAUACGUAUUUCUUAUUGAAGAUGGGUUUUGCUGUAUGGGAGCCACCUCAUGGUAAAUACAAAAUGCUUAGAUAUCCUUGGCAAAAUUAUGUGAAAGUAAGUGGGGCUCUAAGGCAUUGUGCAUUUAUGGUCAUGGCUAUGCACGGAUGUAUACUUUCUGAAAUACAGGUACUUCUUAAAACUUUUCUGUUCCAGAUACUCCGAGUCUUUAUAAUCUUUUGUAUUUACUUUUGGUGGAUGAUUUUUAGGAUUUUUUUUUAAAUAUGCAGAUCUUGUGAUGAUUGGUUAUUUUAAAAUUUUGUUAUCAUUCUUGAUUUAUUUCCCUCUAUGUUUGUUAUUUAAGUGGAAUAUAUUAGUUCUAUUAAGUGUUUUAAAUGUUUAAUACUUAGAGAAGAUGUAAUUUUCAAGGUUGAUAUACUAUUUUAAAUAAUUGUUCUGGCGUAGAAGUUUGGAGAUCAUCAACCAGAGGAGAGCCGUCCAUCCCUUUUCUCCUUUUCCAAUUGUUCCUUUUAAUAUAACAUUUGCUCAUUUCUCACUCCUCAUUUCCAAUCUCGUAUAAGACCUUGUUCUUAGUCUCUAUUCAUUACAUUUAUUACUUACUCCUCUUUAAUCUCAUUAUUUAUAUUAAAAUGAUCUAAGUGCCUAGCGGUAUGAACGGGGUUCACCAAUUAAAUGGAUUUAAUUAUCAUAUCUUACUUUUAUGGGUCAGUUAUGGCGGAUCCCCUAAGUUUGGGAUGGUACAUAGGCUCCCAACCUCAAGCUGAGUAGGUAAAGAUGUUUAUCCAGUGAAAAACCUGGAAAUAUUGUGAUGUAAGUUGUGUCUAGUGAGUUUAUGGUUUGCAUGAAAAUAUUAGAUCGCCCAAUACAACAUAAGUUGCUUAAUCGGUUUAUGACCGUGUUUGCUCUCAACGUUUUAUCGAUUACCCAUACAAAUUACCUUACAUGCUAAGGCUUGACAAUUGCGUAAGUUAAGAAAAACAAACUUACUUGUGUCGCAUGGGAUUAGACUUUAAACCGCGUGAUAAAUCGGUCUUAGUAGAUAAUAUUAAAAAUACCUUACAUGCUAGGGCUUGACAAUUGCCUAAGUUAAGAAAAAUAAACUUACUUGUGUCGCACGAGGUUAGACUUUUAAUUGUCUGAUAAGGUUGGUCUUUGUAGAUACCGCCGAUAAGGAUAAAGUCCGUCUUCGUAGAUAUCACCUGAUAAGAAUAAGGUCGGUCAACUCUGCAACCACCACUUCGACCUCCACACCCGUUAGAUAACCCUUGUCACCACACUUAUAGAUAAAAUUUGUUUAAACAAAACAUAGGAAAUAAAUUAAUUAAUCAAUUAAAACUCUAAAAUGCCAAACUUUGAAAUUUAAAAGACAACCCUAGACACUUUCCUCAAAACAUGCUUAAUUCCUGGUAUUCGAACGCCAAUGAUUUCUUUGAUUUAGAGGCAGCUAUUCCAAUCAAAUAAUGACUGUCUCAUAAGCAAGGCCAUGCCCGCAAUUGAACCAGAGAAAUGUUUAGUGAUUGGAAACCCUAGACUUGGAAAAAAUAAAUUUGAGACAUACUGGAAUUUAGCUUCAUUUUUUGUCAUCCACUGUCAAUUACUUUGGUCCGGAAGUUUAGAAUGUUAUUACUAUUGCUUCAGCUGCUCUUAACUUUGUUAUCCAAUAUUAACCCCUUCAGCCCCCAAAUCUUGUAUUUUUAGUGGCUGAACUAGAGAUGCUGUCAAGUCUUAACCUUAACCCAUGUAUACCCAUACACCACUGGCACCUGGUACAUACUGUGAUUCAGUAUAUUGUUUCUGCCUUAAAAUACCUUUUCUGUUAUUUUCUACAUCAAAACAGAUAAACAUGACGGUGUUAGUUGUCACUUCUUCAUAUUUGACAUGCUAAUCUGUCCUGUCUUUUCUCAUCAUCGUAGGUUGAAUAUGGUCACUGCAUUAAACUGAAGUCUUUAUGAGGCCAAAAUAUCAUUUCGUUUUUCUAUUUCUUGUCAAAACAGUAUAUCCGUAUAACGUGUUCCAGUUCUUCUAAUUUUUACUUCUACAAUUGCUAUUAUUUACUGCUUGGAGGUACACUUUUGGUGGAAUAAUUUAUCUAUAACAUGCAUAAGUGGUGUUAUGAUGUGGUUGAGACUUUAUGGGUCUUGGAGUUAGUUGGGAGUCAGUUAGGAAUGGUUAACUAUCUUUGUUAACUGUUUUUUCUAUUUGUACAGUCUUCAUAUAUUAGGCUUGUAAUUGUCUCUUACAAAGAAAUAACGGGAAACUUUUCUUCUCUAUUUAUCUACUCUCUUCCAAUCUUAAAAACACACUUCAUAUAUCUAUUAAAUAUCCUUGACUAUGUAUUUUUUGAGUAAUCCGCCGAGUUACUCCCUGAAAUUUCAAUUACUGGUUAAUUUAAUGCCUGAAAUUAGAAAAAUCUCAUUUUAGUCCUUACACCAAGCAUUGGUAAUUUUGGUUCUUAAUUUUGUAAUUUCAAAGAUUAAAAUGACUGAUGUUUGAUAACAUUAAGGACGAAAAUGACUGUCAUUUUAGUAACUUUGGGGACUACAAUGCCAUUUUUAUAAUUUUGAUUGUUGCUGAUGAUUUCAAUGAAUUUGGUAUAUUACUUUUUUUAUAGUUCUUUCUCCUGAAACAGAGGAAACUUCAAAUUUUCAGAUAAUUUAAAGUUAAUUAGUUGGCAAAUUUUCAUUUUUAUUCCGAAUGUUUUUUAUAAUUAUGCGAAACACAUGUACUUAACCUUCCCUUUAAUAAACAGGCACCACCAGAGAAGAGACAAGUCUUUAGAAGGGAGCUUCAGAAGGUAGGUUCUGAAGGGGCGAAAAUUCUAAGGGAACUUGGAAACAAAGUAAAAAGAAUGGAGAAACUAGGCGGGGAAGACAUUCUUUAUGAAGUACACGAGGCAGCAGAAGAAUUGCAGCAGAAGAUUGACAAAAAAUCCUUCCUCCUCGUGAAUUCAGAGAGCUGGGAAAUCGGAAACAGGCCAAGAGGGGAGGGUGAUCCUCAAGAUCUCUUGAACGUGGAUGAAGAAAGACACUUUUUGGAGUACAAGUCUCUCAGUGAAGCGGUGCUUGAUCUCAGAGCUGUCAAAGUUCCAAAAGGUUGGGGAGAACAAGCAGCUCCUCCUGAGAAGAUACCUGCAGUGCAUGUAGGUGUUGGUGAUGAAAACAUGUUCAGGAAACAGAUAUCUUGGCCUGCUCAUAUUUCCUUCAAAGAAGAUGCAGUGACAAAAGAAGAAUCUAAAACCUAUGAAAGUGCUAGUUCUUUGUCUCUAGCCACUUUUACAUCCCUUCUGAUUGAGUUUGUGGCAAGGCUCCAGAACCUUGUGGAUUCUUUCGAAGAGUUAGGUGAGAGAGCAAAAUUUAAGGACCCUCUUGAGCAAGCACCAGCAACAACUGGUGGCUUUUGGAACCGGUUGUGUAAUGUUUUGACGGUCAAGGAUUGAGAAUUUGAGAAAUCACAUGUAUUUUAUGGACUGAUCUAAAUUAAAUGCUGAAAUCCCAAAAUCAUAGUGUGUACUGUUUCUAUUCUUUAGGUCAUCUGAACUCAUUCUCAAAGCCAUCAUUCUUUAUCUGAACUCACUAAAUUUUAACAUCAUGUUAAAAAUCUGCAAACAUAUUUAACAGUUUUUUAAAAAAAGUUUAAAAAACUAUUAAUGAUAGUUUUAGAGUUACAAAUUUGUUUACCAAUGAUUAAUGAUUUGAAUAUACAUUUUGUGGUUGUUCUAGUCAAGGAUAUUGAUUGCUGUCCUCAUGUUUUGAGAGAGUAAGAGUAUAUUUAUAGACCUGAAAACAUUUAAUAUUUACCCUCUUUUAAAGGUAGUUGUUCUUUAUUGCUAAGACAUGCAUGUUUGUUGGACUAGGCCCCAAACUACCUUUGUAUGGAUGGUUCCAUUAAGAUAUACGUGUUUGUUACAACUUUCAAAUAUCAUUGGUGGAAAUAAUUACAAGUCUACACUAAAAAGUUAGUUAAAAUAAGUUCUCAUUAAACUAAGCAUUUAUUUUCAUUUUUUUAAAUUGUCAACAAACGUUAAUUACUCUAUACUUUUUAGAAAAAGAAUCACUAAAUUGUUUUAUAUAUUUUUUUAAUCUUGAACAAACUAAUUCUAAAUAACACAUGCAUCAACAAUGUAAAAUUACCACAUGAAAAUUUUGUUAACUUCUAUAAUUAUCAAUAUGAAAAUUCUUCAUCCAUUACAAACAUUCUUUACAAAAUAAAUAAAAAUUAAGCUCAAACAAUUAUUACUCCAGUUCAAAAUAUUAAUCCCUUAACACUGUAACAUACAAAUAAAUAAAAAAUACUUGUGAUUAAAAUACUCUCCAUUUAUAAUUAUUAAUUAUUCUAAAUUUUCAUUCUUUUCAAUUACUCACAAUUACAAAAAAGAGUAAAAAUUUGCUACAAAUAUAUAUAUAUAUAUAUAUAUAUAUAAUAUUUCAACAUAUGCAUCACUUUGUCUUUUCAAUUUGGAACAUUAUUAGAAAAAAUAAUUUAAAAAGCAAACAAAUUACGAUUUAAAAAAUUAUUAUUUAAAAUAGAAGAAUUAAUUGACAGUGCAUAUUAUUUGUAGUUGGGUACAAUUAUUUUAAAGAAGAAAUCAUACUUACACUACAAUGUUUUAUAAUAUAUUUUUUUACAAUUAUAAGAAGAAAUUUGCAGCCAAUGAUGAACAAUACAAGGGAAAGAAGCAGUUACACCCUCGAGAAUGGUGAAAUUCCAGGGAAAAUUAUAAAACCAAUUUUCUCUCUAUCCAAACCAAACGGCAGAUCCGAUCCGCGCUACAUUCCCAUUCCACUCCGUCCUUCAACAAAUCCCCUUUCAGGUGCCACACCAUCACUUCUCUUUCUUCCCUCUCUCUGCCACAACAACACAUUCAUUCGUUUUUUCCUCUCUCAUUUUUUCUUUUUCCAAUUUCUUUCUCAACUGCGACGCUCCAUUGCUUUAGAUCAACAACUGAAUCGUAGAUUUUGUGUCUUGUUCUCUCUUUUUCCUUUCGUCGUUUUGUGUUUUUGAAUUGUUGCUUAAUUGAAAUCGAGUGAAUCGUCGAUCUCCGAUCCUUGCAGUUUUCGAGGAUCCGGUGAAACCUCAUGGCGAUGGUGGACCAGCCUCUGUAUCCGAUUGCCGUCUUGAUCGACGAGCUGAAGAACGAGGACAUUCAGCUGCGACUGAACUCGAUCCGACGGCUAUCCACGAUCGCGCGCGCGCUCGGCGAGGAGCGCACGCGGAAGGAGCUGAUUCCGUUUCUCAGCGAGAACAACGACGAUGACGAUGAAGUGCUUCUCGCAAUGGCCGAGGAGUUGGGCGUUUUCAUUCCCUACGUCGGAGGCGUGGAACACGCCAACGUGCUUCUUCCUCCGCUGGAGACGCUCUGCACCGUUGAGGAAACUUGCGUCAGAGACAAAUCGGUGGAGUCGCUGUGUAGGAUUGGAGCUCAGAUGAAGGAGAAUGAUUUGGUUGAACACUUCAUUCCUCUAGUUAAGGUAGUUCAUAUACAUAGCUGCAUUGCGUUUUUAAUCAUCAUUUUAUGUUUUGUUUUUGUAAACUUCGUUGUAAGUACUUUGAAGUGAGUUUUCCAUAAGCUAUACAAUCAAAUUAUGCCCCUUAGGUUUUGGAGAAGUUAAUGAAAAUAAUUUCUAUGAAAAUUAAAUGCAUAAGUUGAUUUGAGCUUAAGCUUCAACUCAUUUUACUUGCUCACGGAGAAAUUUAUCUGAAUAGGGUCAUGUUAUGAGUCUGAUUGUGGUUUGAGUGGCAUUCAUUGUUUUUGUUAUUUUGCUUCUUGUAGAGGCUGGCUGCCGGUGAGUGGUUCACAGCACGAGUUUCAUCGUGCGGUUUGUUCCAUAUUGCUUACCCUAGUGCGCCGGAGGUGGUGAAGACUGAACUGAGAGCCAUAUAUGGCCAGCUAUGUCAAGAUGAUAUGCCCAUGGUUAGGAGAUCUGCUGCCACAAACUUGGGAAAGUUUGCUGCCACUGUUGAAGCUCCUCACUUGAAAUCAGACGUCAUGUCUGUGUUUGAGGAUCUUACACAGGAUGGUAUGUGAAGAUGAUGCCACGAAUUCCAGCAUCUCAUCAUGAAUCUGUUAUAUAAGAGUAGGAUAGAUGCAACAGUAUUAGUGUUUGUAAAUUGUAUAUAGUUCAAUAAUUUUGCUGCUUAGAUGAGUUGAGAACCCCGUAGUUAGGUAUCUGUGAAUUCUCAGGAAAUCUGUUUCCUUUAGGGAUUUAUGUUUGUCUCUGAUCACUCUGUCUAGAUUGGGAAUUAGAUCUAUUUAAGUUCAGAAGAUCAACAAGAAGGAAACUGAAAACAAAAUAGAAGAUUGAAUCUGAUUAAGGUAUUUUUGGAGUCUUAGACAAGUUUCAACUAUUUCGUGCGUGAUGUUAAUCUGAAAGGUAUUCAUCAAAGUAUAGAUCCUAGAAUACAAUUUUUUUUAUGAAACAGUCUAAUAGUUUCAACUGUUCAUAUUUAAUCUCUUCUCAUCUUAGUUUGCUCUUAGUUAGUCCAAAAUCUAGGUAUAGAAGGAGAAAUAUGUAAGUUAAAUGGUUUAUAAAUAACUGCAGACACUUGCAGACUUUCAUUGAUGACCCGCCUACUGUUCAAGUGAAAUUCACGUAACUGCUAGUUAUGAAUAGAACAAUGUAUCAUUCUUCCUUAUAAUAUUAUUGGGAAAUUUGGCAUACUGAAGUUAUUGUUAUUGGACUGACUAAUGGGAGAAAUGAAUACAGGUUUAGUGUGUUAUGGUCAUUUGUUGGGUAAUUAUUUUAGUGAGUUUUUUAAGUUUUUUGGCUGGAUGGAAUUGCAUACAUUAAAAUGAUUUCUUGACUCUUGUUCUUGCAGAUCAAGAUUCUGUUCGGCUGCUUGCUGUUGAGGGUUGUGCAGCUCUAGGAAAAUUGUUGGAACCUCAGGAUUGUGUGGCACAUAUUCUUCCUGUCAUAGUCAAUUUUUCUCAGGUUUGUUGACCUGACCAUUAGUACUUCUAUAUAUGUAAAGAUAUAUCUUCCAUAGCCAUUUUGUGGCCAACACUUAUCAGAGGGAUGAUUGCAACAUUUCGGUUGCUUUAGUUUAGUUAACUGUAUAUGUAAGAGUAUAUCGAUAGGCUGAAUACAGGUUUAAUUAUUGGCCCGUGCCUUUCCAAACAUAUGUUCCACUAUGCAAAUAAAUUUGUUUUGUUCCAUAGGAAGAAAGCGUGUGGAAAAUAUUAUCUGUUUAAAUUUCUUUUUUCUAAUGUAAAGAAUGUACGGAUGGAAAGCAAACACUUAAUUGCAAAACUAUUUAUUUUUGGUGCUUUGUAAUAUUGUUUCAGAGCUUAAGUGACAACUUACUACACAGCCAUAGUACCAACAAUGCUUUGAUACUACUGAAUGUUGGGUGGUACUGGUACAGUGCCAACAAGAGCACAAGCUAAGUGUUGCUGACAUGAUAAUAUAAAACAGAGGACGGACAAAAGAAUAGACAAGGUUAGGAAAUAAAUUGAACUUUGUGAAUAAGAGAAACUUGUUCCAAUAAAUUAGCACAUAUACAAACACCGGACAUGACACAAACACUACGAUACAUGUAAUCUAAAAAAUGUAGGACACAUGGACAUGGAUAUAUAUUACAUCAUUAUGAAUUAUUUAAAUUGACAAUCAAUAUAUAUAUAUAUAUAUAUAUUUAAAAUCAUCUAUAAACAAAGUUAGUCAAAUAUAACAGUCUAAACAUAUUGUCACCUAAUACAAAAAUGAAUCUCAUUCAUCUAUCUAAAAUCCAAAAAGUGAAAAGAGGAUAUAAAUCAUUUAAGACAUUUCAUCCCCUUCUUAAUCAUCAUCAUUGAAAAAGACAGUUUAGCCGAGAUUCAUUUAAAGAGAAAUUAACAAUUUCACAAAAUUCAACAUUAUAUGAAGAUAUGAUAGGAGAAUAAAUAAAAACAUUUACCAUAAUAUAUAUAUAUAUAUAAUCUAAAUAUUCCUAAUUAUAUACAAUUUCUUUCUUAUUUUUAUAAUCAAAAUAGAAACUUACACAAUAAGUUUAUGAGCUUUUAGAAAAUCACUAUAUUUGUCCUUAUUAACAUUGUGUUGGAGCCGUGUCAGAAUUAUGUCUUAGACCCCAAAAAUGUUUUUUGAAUUAGACACUUCAACAAUACGUGUGGUACGAGUGUCAUAUGCGUGUCAGUGUUCAAUACGUCUCAGACAUAUGGACAUACCAUUAAGAGGUGUGUCUCAGCUUCAUAGAUGGGUGUAGUAUAUUAUUUAUAUGUAGUAAACUAGGCUAGUUCCUAGUAGUAGUAAAUUGUUGGACGAGACAGUACAAAGAGUAGAUUUACCCUCAUCCCUCAAGCAUACUAAACACAUGCUUAAUACUAUACUCUUAACAGAGGAAUAAAUGGUAGAAUUGCCCCUAAGACAGUAUGGUCAUAUGAAAGAUGACAAAUAGUAGCUGCAGAAAUAGAGUUGAUUAAAUGGAGGAUAGAUAGGCUAUUAGUACAAGGUAGAGCAAGAGCAAUAAAACUUGAUAAACCAUUAAAAAGCUUAGAUCUAAAUAACUUAAAUAGCUUCUAUAAAGACUCGAUUUUGGGCAGAACACAAUGGUGUGGGAAAAGCAUUUUGUUUUUGUUGAAUAAUAUUGUGUUAAAGGAUUCUUAUUUCCCCUUCAUAGCUAUUUGUUUUGUACGUAAUUGUGGCUUAUUUAUUACUUUUUGAAGCAUACACUUGUGUAAAUAAAUAUUUUAUCGAGCUGCUGACUGAUAUGAAUAUGAUGGACUAUACUUAGAUAUUUGUUGGUGGAAGAAUGAUAAUUCAAAUUAAAAGAUUAAAGUUGGAAAUGGACCUGCUUGGGUGAUAACAUUCCACACACCACUGCAUCACUACAUAUUUAAUUAUUUGAAGUCGCAUGAGAUGAGUUUGUUGACUUGUGAGUGAUAAUAAAUUGCAUCAGGAGUUAUUUGAUAGUUGAAUUAGUUUAAUCCUGAUAUAGGCAGGUGGAUUCUUUUGUGGUUUUACCUUUAGUUAGUUGUUUGCAUGCUUUUCUUUUUCGUAGUCCCAUCCUUUUUGUCAUUUUGAAGAACCUUUUUGUGUUUUCAAUAUCAAAAGCCAGAAAAUUAAAUGAAAAAUUAUAUUUUUUUUGUUGGCUUGUGUUGUUUCCAACUUUCUGGAGUGAAUUUCUGCUUGUUUUUGUCACAUUUACACAGUUGAAAUUACUUCUUAUACAGGACAAGUCAUGGCGUGUUCGUUACAUGGUUGCAAAUCAACUAUAUGAGCUAUGUGAAGCUGUUGGUCCUGAUCCCACUAGGUAACCAUUUGUGUCUUUUAUCUGAAAAUCUGUUUUUGUUACUAUGAGAAUUGACUCAGUAAAAUCUUGUCUAAAGGUUCCUAACAGAUACUAAUCACUAAGCGUUCUUCAUUCAGUAAAAAAAACUAUUAUGCUUCAUAAUUUAAUGUAUACAAGUUAUGACUUCCUGUUAAUUUCUUCAUAAUCUAUGACAUUAUUAAAAAGUUAAAAUUUGUUUGUUUCCUAGAUUCUAGUUGACUGUUUAUAUAAUGCGAUGCAUUUGUAGGUCAGAAUUGGUUCCUGCCUAUGUUAGGCUGCUGCGUGACAAUGAGGCUGAAGUACGUAUCGCUGCUGCUGGGAAAGUAACUAAGUUCUCCCGCAUACUAAAUCCUGAACUUGCCAUUCAGCAUAUUCUACCCUGUGUGAAGGUAUAUAGUUACUUUGGGACUCUUACAGUUUUGGAAUUUAUGACAAUAGUUCAAUUACACUUGAUCAAGUUUACCUACUACAGGAGCUAUCAAGCGAUUCAUCUCAACAUGUUCGCUCUGCAUUGGCUUCCGUUAUAAUGGGAAUGGCACCAGUGUUGGGGAAGGUACGUGUCUUUAUCUAAACUCUUAAAUUAUAUGAUCAUAAAAUUAGGACAUUUACAAAUGUGUGUGAAAAGGUGUUUCGAAAUGGCUACAAAAUCACAUGGCUUAGGUUAUCAAAUUAAUAAAUGGUUUAGUAUAAGUCUUUGCAAAUGUGACUUAAGUAUUUAAUUGUUAUGAGGGAGAAAAACGAGAAGUAAUUGGAAUGAAUUCAUGUGUCUUGAUUACACAAUGGAGGUUCUUAUUUAUAAUUAAAGCCAUAAGCAUCAUGGGUAAGAUCUACCAAUUAUACUGCUCAUCAUCCCUAAUUACAAUAUUUCCAUAUUUAUACUGUACAUUAUAUAAUUACAAGAUUCCUACCUAUUUGCAUCAAUAGUUAAAUAUGUUUUGUUAUGCUUUUUUCUCAUGGCAGAUAUGUUUUAGCCUAUUAUAACUUGGGGCAAUUGCCAUAUCUACCUUAAAAUUCUAUUGGAAUAUGAUUUCUUGGUUUACUACAUAUUUAAAUUGCCCUCACUAAUCAAUACGUUAAAUAAAGAUUGUGAAAAAAUAAAAUUAUUUUACAUGUUAGAGUCAUUACCAUGAGAUAAAUUUAUGCCCUUGAUCCAUUCACCACCUAACCUCAAUCACUUGAGCUAUUGCUUAGAUAACUCAAUUUUAUAUACCUUUUUAUCUUGCAUAGUUAGUUUUUUGAGUUAGAAUUUUGCUUUUGGGGGAAAAUAUCCUUCUUUUUUAAAUGUACAAAUUAGUUUAAGCUCAUAGUUUGUUAUUUAUACUUUUCUCUUUAUCUUAAUUCCCUUUUCAUAAAAAAAUGGUAAGAAUUAUCUUUCAAAUCAGAUGCUUCAUUCAGGACUUGAUUUCUUGAUUUCUUCUAAUUUUUUUCUUGACUUAUAGAUCGAUCACAUUUCUAUACAACAUCAUUAACUUUUUAUUUAUAUAAAUGUUAAUAUAUUGUUUUUGUGCCUAUGUAUUGUUUAUUUCCCUCUCAGUUUAAAUUUUCUAUAUCCCCCUCCUAUCACUUGCAGUGGCAAUGGCAUUAAAAGUGAGGUUAUAAAUUUAUCACUAUCCAUAAACAUAUCAAGACGCAUGAGGUGAAAUAGGCAUACUUUUUGUUUCUAUGCCUUUGGCAGGAUUUGGUCUAUUUGCUUUCCAAACUUUGGCCAUCCCCCUAAAGAAUAAAAAUUAGUUAAUAAUACUCUGUCUGUACAAAAUAUGAAAAACUGAAAAUUAAAACCUUUCAUCUCAGUGAUCUUGCACUAUUUUAUUUUUGGACCUCUACCUAUGUUCUCCACUUUAGUGUUUUUCAUCUCCUUAUACAAGCACGUUUGUUUCUGUUUUCUAAUACUCUGCUCUGAUGUGAGAAAUAUUUGAUUCUAUUCCUUAAAUCUUGAACUGUUCUUGGCUAAAAGCAAUUCAACUUACGUGCCUUCUUGCUUUUACAAUAAUUUUGUGGUGGUUGCAGGAUGCAACAAUUGAGCAACUUCUGCCUAUUUUCCUUUCUCUUUUGAAAGACGAAUUUCCUGAUGUAAGGCUAAAUAUUAUCAGCAAGCUUGAUCAAGUGAAUCAGGUUUGUGGGUUAAAAUUCAACGUUCUUUUAGAUUGGUUAUGUACGUUUCAGAAUUAUUAUUUUUCAUAUACUCCCUCUAUUGAAGCUUGUAAUUUUACAUGUGGAUUGCAGGUUAUUGGUAUCGAUUUGUUAUCUCAGUCUCUGUUGCCAGCUAUAGUUGAGCUUGCUGAGGAUCGGCACUGGAGAGUUCGACUUGCUAUCAUAGAAUAUAUACCCUUACUGGCCAGCCAAUUGGGUGUAGGCUUUUUUGAUGAUAAGCUCGGUGCUCUUUGCAUGCAAUGGCUAAAGGACAAGGUUUGUGAAGCAAGUGCAAUUAUUUUCAAUUGGUUCUGGUCUUAUUUUUUAAGUCUAUUUUAUGGAAAACUUUGUCUUGAGCUUUACAAAUUUUAUUAUAAAUUUUAUAUAUAUAUAUAUAUAGUUUGGUAAGCAAAUGUUUAGUUUAUGGAUGUUUGUACGGUGCUGUUGGCGAAGAUUGGGAUUGCCCCCAAGGAUCUCUACAAGUUCCUGUGUUAAUUUUAGGGGUUUUAACACCUUAGAACAGCCAAAAGGAUUUGGCACAUUGCUCCAUUUUUGGUAUAUUUGGUUGGAAAGAAAUGCCAAAAGGAUUUGGGAUAGGUUGCGCACUUAACUUCUUUGUGCUCUAAAGGACUUUCUAGUUCUUCAGAGAGAUUGGCAUGCAGUGUUACAUGUUUCAUGUUCUUGAUUUUUAUGUUUUCUUUUCGGUUCUUUCUUGGAUUAGCUUUGGAGGAUAUCCUAUCAUCUUGUAGUUGUACCUUCUUUUUUUCUUAAGAAGUUCUUUGGUUAUCAAAUAAUAAUAAUAAUGCGGUUAUUGCUUUAAUUUUAAAGCUCUCAUUAUUAGGUUUACAAAGUAACUUUAAAUAAACAAGUCAGGUCAAACUCUACCACAGUACUUGGCUUUUUUAUUGCGCUUAUAUCUGACAUGUAUUUGGAAAAGUGGCCUUUUCUUUUUACAUGAAAAGGAAAAAGAAGAAAAAUUGGUGUAACUUAGAGAUCUUAAUUUUAGAGGGCUAAAAGAACAAACAAAAUGUUAAAUAUUAGUUAUUUUAGGUUUAAUUUUCAAUACCACUCAAAGUAUCAUAUAGAGGUUCUAAGUCUUAUGUUUGACGGAAGGUUUAAACUGAAUCCUCCAUUGACCGAGUCAGUUAUAAAAUAUAUUCAAAACUUUUUUGGUCAAAAAGCCAGUUAUUCUUUCUUUCCUUUUUACUAGGGGCAGGUGUUCAAUGCCAUUCUCCUUUUUAUUUUAUUAUAUGUAAUUUAGAUUCAUUGUAUCAUAUUGACUUUGUCUAAUGUAUGCUCAUGUAUUUGUAGGUAUACUCAAUCCGUGACGCGGCCGCAAAUAAUAUCAAACGCUUAGCAGAAGAAUUUGGACCGGAUUGGGCAAUGCAACACAUUAUUCCCCAGGUUUUAAUAGAGGCUCUUAGUUUGUUGAUGUACAUUUGCAGUAUAUUUACCUUGAACUACAGAAAAGGAUUUCUACACCACUUAUAUCAUAGAACAUCCUCUAACCAUAUGUUUUGAAAAGAAAAGGAAAAAUCUUAUAUUAUUUAAAGAAAUCGAGAGAAGGAAAACAAGAUUUAUAUCAUUUAAAGAAACCCUAGCUUUGGAAUUAGGUUCGGUGGUGCCUGGUGAAAGAUUCUAUUCUAUCUACUUGUAGAAGUGUGCUGAAAAUUUUGUUACAAAUUACAAUAGACACUUUUCUUAGUACUUAAGGAUUUAAAAAAUAUGUCCUGAAUGCUAUUACCUUAAGAACUAUUGUAUCCUUUGCAGGUUUUGGACAUGGUUACUGAUCCACAUUAUCUGUAUCGGAUGACGAUCCUUCAAGCAAUUUCUCUACUGGCUCCAGUUUUGGGCUCGGAGAUUACUUCUUCAAAACUUCUCCCUCUGGUCAUUAAUGCAUCAAAAGAUAGGUAAAAUUGUAGAGUCCUUACUCCUUUUGUAUGUCUUCCUUUGAGCCAAUACUCAUAGCAUGUCUUGCAGGGUACCCAAUAUCAAAUUUAAUGUAGCCAAAGUGUUGCAGUCUCUCAUCCCAAUUAUUGAUCAGUCUGUAAGUAGCUUCCAUUUAAGAUUUCAUCUUUAACAUUCCAUCCCAUAGUUACUUGGACUACAAUACAGUAUGGAUUUCUAAACUAAAAAACUUGUAUCUUGAAAAUUAAUCAAAUGAGCUAUAUUAAUUUGAUUUAGAAAUAUUGGGGUCCAGAUUAUUACUUUGAAUUGUUUUUUUUUUUUAAUUCUUCACUACAAAAAAGAAUUUCAAACUAGUUACUUGCCGAAAAUGCUUGGAUUACAAAACCAGUUGGUUGAAAGUUAAGCUGGCUGUUUGGUACUGGUAACUGGUAAUAUUAUCACUUGAAAAUCUGUCACAAUACUUCACAAUAGACUAUAGUUUGUUUCUAAUAAAGCUUGUGGCAGUGAGAAGUGAUAUGAAAUCCAUACUGUUUGAUAGAAGAACAUAUGUUUUUGAAUGUCUCUUUAACUAAUUAUGGUUGGAAUAAUGAAGGUUGUUGAGAGUAGCAUCCGUCCCUGUCUGGUUGAGCUGAGUGAGGAUCCAGAUGUUGAUGUCAGGUUUUUUGCCUCUCAAGCACUACAAUCUAGUGAUCAAGUCAAAAUGUCUAGCUAGAUCAGUAUGCAUGUUGUCGUUAGUUUUUUUAUUUUUUAUAUAAGAUUUACAUUUUCUUGUUUAAUUGGCGACAAGGAAACUUGUCCAAUCUUUUGUAUCACAUAUUAUUGUGGUGAUCCUGCUUUACUUUCAUUUUAUCCCUAUUAUCAGGUUCUUUGUAGUGAAAAAACAUUGUCAGGAAGUGAGAUGGUUUUUGACUACCACUAAUUAUAUGAUUUACCAAUGUCAACAUAUUUUGUAUGAAAUUUUGAUUUACCAAUACAAUUAAUAUAUUCAUUAUCUGUUUACGUGGGUAGAAGUAUCAACUUAAACUAUUAAUAGGGUAGGUUUUCUCUUCUUGUUCUUGUACUUCAAUAUUAGUGAGAAAUGUUCAAAUUAUAAAUAUGCAUUUUUACCAUAAAGAUUUUAUAUUGAGUGGUUUAAAAUUUUUAAUAUCCAAUCUUCUCCUUUUACUUAAGAAAAAAUAUGUAAGAAAUAAUAUCCAAUCUUCUCCUUUUAAAAUAAUUAUUUAUUUUUGUUAUACUUUUUGAAUUUAUAGACACAUCUUUCUCAUAUUUUUUUAAUAAAUAAAAUUCUUUUUGUAUUUUUAAUAAUAUAUACUCACUUUUUUUAUUUGUAAAAAAAUAAUUAUAAUUUUAUUUAUAAAACGUUUUUUUUUUAUAUUUUAAAAAUUAAAUUUUAAUUUUCAUAAUUUUUAUAUAAAUUUUAGUCAGUAUGAUAUUUUAAAAUAUAAUAAGAAAAAGAAUCUCAAUUUAUUAAAAAUAUAAAAAAAUAAAUGUUAUUCUUUUAGCACAAAAGAAAAGUAGUGUUUAUCUAAAAGCUAAAAAUUAUGAAUGUUGUUAAAAUGUAUAUUUUAAAAUUAGAGACAUUAAGGGAAAACCUGCACAUUAUAGUAAUAUAAGUUUGAUAUUCAUUGUUGAUGUUUUUGGCAACACUGACAUUUCCACUUGUGACAUUCCAAUUGCUGUUUUUGAAAUUUUUUCGGUACCAUCUGACAUUUGGAACUGUAAGUUUUCAUUGUCACCCAACAUAUAACAUUCUCAUUCCUGUCAGUCACUGUCACUCAAUCUGUAAAACAUCCUUAUUCCUGUUUUUCAGAGUUUUGGUGUCUACUCAAGGUUGGACGAACAAUCCUCUUGUGUUAUUUUUUUAGAGUUUUUUCAUGAUAAGUGAACAAAAUUAUUUUUUAUUAGUUACUGUAAAAGUAAAACCAAUUAAUUUGAAAUUGACAGAUUCAAAAUUCAAAAUUAUAUUUUAGAUUAAUUAUUUUAAAAAUAGUUAUGAAAUUUUUAAUUCAUAACUUUAAAUAUAUACUUUAAAUUGCAUAAUAAUCCUAUUAUUUUAGAUUAUUCAAUACAAAAGACUUUCAGAAAAAAGAUUAAAAACUAUAAUUGUUAUAAAAUAUAAAAGAGAAAGUAAUCAUUUUAAAAUAAAUGAAGGGUCUAAGAAGAAAGCGCAAGAAACAGAAGACUAAUAAUGAAAUGCUUUUGGGUUCAAUCCCAACUAGUAAAGCCUUGUGGAUGUUCUAACUACUGCAUUAUCCCAGUGUUUUAUAAAUAGUGAGAUGGUUAACUUAUUCCCACCACCAGUAGUGUCACUAAAAGGAGACUUUGGAUGAGUCUUGUUGACAGGCAUAUCAAACAUAAUGUCUUAGAACUCAUGUCUUAUCAUUGAGUCUGGAAUACACUGUUUGAACUAUUUCUUGAAGAAUAUCAGUAGAGUUAUCAGCUUCAACCUAAACAUUUUUACAUUCAAGAUCAUAAAGAGAAUACAGUACUGCUAACUAAUUUUGUUCAUUGUAGAACAUCAUUGGAAAAAAUGGCUAACACGUGGGAAAAUUGGUCAGAAUCUAACUAGAUCUCAGAAAAAUAUAGGUUUGAUAUAACAGGAUCAAGGAAGUUCUAUUCUCCAUGAAGCUGCUAUGAAUUUUCCUUUCCAGUCGUAAGACAAUUUUCCACUUCAUGAAAGUUGGGUCUGGACAAUUUUAUGCUGAGGAUAAGAGAUUCAGCAGCACCACUUAAACCCUUCCUCCCAACUAAACUCACUCCGAAAUUGCGGUUUAAAAUUCUCAUCCUGUUCUCAUCUCCCUCCACCUGACUCAACUCAAUGACCCGCUUCUUUGAGAGCAAGGCAUAGAGAUAAAGAUUGCCAGAGUCCAAUACAGCACCUCCAAUUUUAACCCUCAGUAAUGAACUGGAAUCAAGAUCAUUCAGCUUUGGAUCAUACAAAGCAGAGAAGCUACCAAAUGUCAUAUCAGGUUUCAAAAACAGUUUGUGCAAAUCAUCAUCCUCCUGGGAGUUACUUUUUGAUGUGUCAAAACCAGGCAUGGAAGACCUCCUCUUUGCCACUCUCAAAAUGUUUGCAGCCUCUCUCAUUCCACUGAGAAACGCUCCAUGCAUAGUCGCAGGAUACUGCUUGCAGGUUGCCUCUCCAGCAAAGAACACUCUUCCAUUCCCAACAUUCUCUCCAAGAAUGUCAUAAUCAUCUCCUGAAGAUCCAACAGCAACAUAAGAGUACGAUCCAUAUGCAAAGUGAUCCUUCCCCCACCGAGUACACACGGCCUGAACCGGAUCCGGAACAACAAUCCCCUUUGGAUUGAAAAUAUCCUUCAGAAUGUCCAACACCCUUUUCACAGACUCCACUGGUGACAUCAUCUCAAACCUAAUUGCAGCCUCCCCAGCAACAAGAGCCACCAGAAGCGGGCCCCCAGACACCGAGGAGUAGCUAUAGAACAGAAAAAACUCACCCCUCAUACUCAAAUCCUCAGUCAAAUGACCAAAAGUAUCAAUGUCCCCACCCCAGAAAUUAUAUGGAAACAACAUUGCAACCUUGUUCAACAACCCAAACCCCAACCUACGAAUAGCAUCCUUCUUCCUCUGAGGAAGCUCAGGCACAAACUCAAUAUCCCCCUUCUUAAGCACCCCCAAUGGCACAGUACAAAGCACCAUAUCCCCUCUAAACUCCAUCCCACCAGCAGAAACCGCCACCCCAUCACUCCCAUACUUCACACACUCCACAGUCCUCCCAUAGAAAAUCGGCAGAUCCUCUGCCAACGCGCGAACAAAUGUCUCAUUGCCCCCUGGAAUGAAGCAAUGAUCACCCCCCAUCUCAUAGGGAUCAUCCUGAUCCCAAUAAGCCAUGGACAAAUUCGCCAUGAGAGUUGCAUUCGCGUACUCCAAAUUUGCAAGGUGCCAAUUCAGCAGCAUCCUCUCCUCCUUAUCCUCAGCAACCUUGUAAACCCUUCUGAAAGCCUCCAAUGCCGUCCCCAAUGGCACAUCCACUGACUUCACCUCCUCAAUCAUGGCCUGUCUAAGCUUACAAACCCUCUCCAACAACUUGUUAAACGAAACUUCAACCCUAGAGUCAACCUCAGAGUCAACACUCCUCCCAUCAGGCAAAUAGAGAGGACAAAUAUCCCUGACCUUAUGCAAAGGCAAACCCAAUUGUCUAGCAAGUACCCCAAGAGGGUUCCCAUUUAUUCCAGUGAGGACACUCCCACCGAAAUCGGCUGCAGCCUCAACACCAUCACCACUAAUCUUCUUCGUCUUGACCCUCCCACCGGGUCGGGUCCUACCCUCCAAAAUCACGACUUUAAACCCCAUAAACACCAAUUGUCUAGCUGCAACCAAACCUGCGAACCCAGCACCGAUCACAAUCACCGUUCCUCGAUCAGACCCAUCGAAAGGUUUCAGCUUUAGGGUUUUAAUCUCAUGCGCGAGGCCGAAGUUAAUGUAACCGUGCUCAAGGAGGAACCGGUACGCGGUUUCGACUAAACCCUUGUGCUCCGACCGGAUCGACCGGAGGGCCCGGUCGUGGGUUAACCAGACCGAAACGUUGGACCGCCACCGCGCCAAUAUGUGGUUUCGGACGACGAUAUAGUUCGAUUGUUCGGAGCCACCGACGGUGGAAACCACGUUCGCUUCGAUCUCUUCCUCGGUUAACGAGUCCACGGGGAACCCCACCGAGAUCGCGAUCAGGGCUUCCACGUCGCAGUCCUUGGCUACGUCGCUUCGGCGGGUGGAGGACGGAGCGUUGAGUUCCGUGAAGAACUUCUUGCGACGGCGACGUUUUCGCGUCGGUGGGACCGGGUCGUGUCGGGUCGUGGUGGAGUCUGGGGAGUCCGCAACGGCGGGCUCGGGCGUCAUUUGGGUGGGGAGGGAGGAGUCUGGGUCUUCGGAGGAGUUUUGAGGAGACAUUGCGACGUCGUUUUCCGGCGAUAAGGGUUGUGAUGGUGGUGGCGGCGGCGGUGGUGGCGGUGGCGGUUCCGGCAUUGUUGUUGGUUCUUGGUUGAGUGAUGGACAGUGUGAUCUUUCGCUCUCAAAUUAAUUGUUUUUGGCAGUUUCGGAUAUUUAUUAUUUUUCUUCUUCUAGUCUCUCACCCUUAUAAUAUUAUUGUAGAAUAAAUUACAUACAACUUUUACUUUUUCAGUAAAUUUUUAUUCUUAUAUUUAAAAAAAUUAUAAUUUUGCUUUAAUUUUAGUUUUCUCUAUGUUUUAUUUUUGUACUUUGAUUGCUUAGAUUUUUUCAAUUAUGAUUAACUUUAAGAAUUUUUCAUUUGGUUUUAUAUUUUUAUUAAUCUUGUAAUUUUAGAUACUUUUAAAAUUGGUAGAAUUCUUUCAAAUCUUAAAAGUUCUUUUAAAUUUGUACGAUAUAAAUCCAAAUAAACCCUAAAAGUCUUUCAAAGUGCUAUAAAUUAUAUCAUUCUUGCAUUAUUAUUUUAAAAUUUGAAAGAUUUUAAACAAUUUAACUAAUAUUUGAAAUAUCACUCCAAACUCCUUCUAUUGUUCUUUUAUAUUACCAUUUCUGUUUUUCUACCUUUAUUUACUUAUAUAUUUCCCCUAUCCACCUAAUAAUUUCUUCUUACAAUACCCUUUUUAAUUAUCCUUUGUAUUGAUUACUUUUCUAUUAAAGUAUAUUUCUUUAUUUUAAUUUAUAAACAAUAAGCACUAUAAGUUAUCUCUUUCUCUUUUCCAUGAAAAUAAAAAAAUUAGAGUUUAAUUUUAAAAAUGAAAACUACUCUAUUAAUGUCCUCUCUCCAUACAUAAAUUAUUUAAGAAUAAUUUUGAAAAAUAUACCAUCUUAUAAAUUAGUUAUAUGCAUUUUAUACGUAGAAAAAGGAAAUAAUAGCCAAUAAAAAAGGAACUCCCACUAAACUUUCUCUAAUACUUUCUUUCAAACACUCUUGAAUUUAAAUCAGUAAGAGAAAAAGUUUAAAAAAGUGUUAAGAAAAAGUGUUGGUGGUGACAUUUUUCUUGAUCUAAUAGUUAUUGGAGUAUAAAAUAACCUAUUAUAUCCAUUACUCUUCUAAGUUCCUAUAUUUUGGGUGUAACUGUACAUUGGCUGUUUUAUUGCAGAAAUAAUACAAGUUAUACUGUUCUUCCUAGAGUAAAUUAUAGCAUGCUAUCAGGGACAAAACUGUUUUUCUUUCUCAAUCUUCUGCUUGACAUGCCACACUCUGCUCGCUUCCAACCAAUUUUUUGCUUUGAGUUAUCAUACACAACUAAGUAUCCUCUGAAUGAAAUGUCUGCAAAGGUCAUAAUCAGUAAGAAGAACCAAAUUAUCACUUAAGUUCAGGAAAAGAGAGGAAAGGAAUGCUGCUCCAUGAAAGUGGAAAAUUUCACGUGAACUUUAAGUCAACUCAACCUUAUAAAUCCAAAUUAGAAGGUAAAGUUUACAUCCACUUAUAUAUUAUGAAAUGUUUUUAUCUCUAGAUGUCCUAAUAGAACAGUUAAAAGGAGAAAGAUGAUGAUUGCAAGAACAAAGAAAAGGUGGGUUAGGGAGAAAGGAGAAGCAUAAAGUCAAAAUGUUAGAUGCUAUUGGUACAAGUCAUACCAAGUGCUAUCAUCUUUUUGCUAAUGUUUCAAGUUAAGGCAGUGGAGAUAUCAAAUAUAAAGAGAGUGAGAACAUGAAUUUUAUAUGAAAAAGUAUAACUAGAUUAAAUGAAAAUUUAAUGCUAAAUCCUAGGAAAGUAUCAAAUGCUUGUAUGUUUGCAAAAUAGUAAAGGCAUCCACUUUUAAUGUUUUCUUUAUUAGUAGUAAAGAAGGAUUUUUAAGAGGAUACAACUAUUAACUAGCACUAGCAACAGAUGAAUCAAAUCACAAUUUCAGAACUGAAAUAGCCCAUGAACUAAUUUAUCAUAACUCUGAUUCCUCUAAUAGUGAUAGAAUCUCAAUAGCAUUUGAUUUCAAAGGUGGCUCAAUAAAUGGCACUACUUCUGCUACACAAAUGGGCUGGCUAGUUGAGUUAUUCAUCAUCAAACACAUUAAACACUAAGGUACAAAGACUUAGGCUAAGUGAAGUUGUGUGAGAUAAAGGUGAUAAAUUGGAGAUUAAAAAAAAUGACCAUGCAAAAAUUUCAGAAAUGGACAAUUGCAGAGAGACUUGACAUUGCAGCAAAAAUCAGUCACUGUAUGAAUCCAAACCUAGAAUAUGUGAAGGGUCUAUAUAUGAAAAGAAAAUAGCCCCGUAUUUGCAAUCCAAUCAUUGACACUUAUACCAGGUAAAAACAACACAUAAAUAGAAAUUAUUGGCAAGAAUAUAGGCAGGAAAAGUUGCAUGAGAAUAAGCUUAAAGGUUUUCAUGAGGGUGAGAGUACCUCCAAGAAUAAUGGAGGAUCCAUCGUUUACAUUGCUACCGUCAAGGAUACCCAAGCAAACAUGGCCUUUGUUCUGCAGCAAAAAAGGUAGCAUUUUAGAAUACAUGACAAUAACAAAAUCAGUUGGAACAAGAAGUUGUAAUAGAAUACAAAGAGAGGAUUACACUAAUGAUCAAGUAACCCUCUGGUGCUAUCUGAAACAUUGUGGACAAAAUCCACCACUUGCUUCCAAACCGAAGAGUUAUGGUCUUGAAGUAAUCCUUGACAUCUUUGACAGAUCUGCAUGCAUGUAACAUGGAUUUUAGAACAACAUGCAAUAACAUUGUAAUUGGUGAAACAUGCAAUAAAAACAAUAGACCUAUUUCAUUUCUCCAUAACAUGGUCAGUCAAACAGAUACAAGAAAAUAAUGUAUUUAUUUUCUGUCUCUACAAAACAAGGUACUAAAGAUGAAGAGAAUCAAAAUAGUGUCAUUUCACCUUAUGUAAUUCAGUUCAUAUCUUGACUGCUUUAAAAAAUUGAUUACUUUAGUUAUUAUAAAUGCAAAAAACAAUUGCACCUUGAGUAAUUUAUCUUACUUGAUUGGGAAAUUUGCUUCCCAGCAAAUGGGUAAAGUAGUAUCUGAAUCAUCUUGAAUGAGUCUCAACCCAGAAACUUCAUUAAGCUGCACCAAUACACAUAAAUAAUGAAUUUGUGGUGUUCAAGAACAGACUCAAGAAAAAUGUCAAAAUGGUUCCAGAUUGAUAAAUGUAAAAACUCACAGAAGCAACAAGAUCCAAGUAUGCUUCUUUUGGGAAAUAUGUAUAAGAACUGCCGCUAUCAAAAACCACCUUUCCUACUUUGCUUUGGCCAUCAAAACUGAGUUGCCGAUUUCCAUAAUUUAUUCCAAGAAUCUCAGUUUGGUAUAAAUCCCUACAGAUUAGAGUGUGUGCCACAUUUAAAUUAGAGAAGAAUCAGAACAAACUGUCAGAAUAAUAGUGCUCAUCCUCAGGGGAAAAAGUAGAUACAGAAAAACUUCAAA
RNAcentral lists this long non-coding RNA (87889 nucleotides) under Phaseolus vulgaris (common bean). RNAcentral's name for it is "long non-coding RNA (PVUL_LNC003696)". The record is from RNAcentral. Lineage: Eukaryota; Viridiplantae; Streptophyta; Magnoliopsida; Fabales; Fabaceae.